RNAcentral lists this long non-coding RNA (45932 nucleotides) under Octopus vulgaris (common octopus). Lineage: Eukaryota; Metazoa; Mollusca; Cephalopoda; Octopoda; Octopodidae. The record is from RNAcentral.
AUACAUGUUGAUCCUCUAGCUGUCAUUCAUCACUAUGUUUUUUUUUUCUUCCUUUCUAAAACUGUUUGAGAUUCUCUUAAUAUUGAGGAACUCUUUUAUACAAUUUGUCAGCAUCCCAAUAUAUUAGGAUAUAUUAUUAAAAUUAAAUUAACUUUUUUUUUUCUUGAACAGUUUUGUUUAUGUAUUUAUAUCUUCAAAAUAGUAUUUAACUAGACUUUCUUAUUGGUAAACCUCUAAACUACCACUGUUUAGACUGUGUAUGUGCAUAUAUAUAUAUAAACACACACACACAUGCAUAUACAUAAACACAUAUGUAUGUAUGCAUCUGUGUGUGUGUACAUACACUGAUAUUUAUAUAUUGUCCUUUUACAAUAUCCAUGAGUUUAGAAACUUCAUGAUGAAUAUGGCAAGAUUUGUAUCUCAGGUCAGUGUGGGAAAUAUCUUCGGUGCUCUUCAUACUUGUUAUAUUAAUUGAUGUUUUCCCCAAAUUUUGAGAAUAAGACAUUAGGCCUCUGUGGGUAUUGACUACCCCACAAGAAGUCAUCUCCUAGCAAGCUGAGCUUAUUAUCUCAGCCAAGAGGUGUUUACUUCUACUGAACAGAUGGUAUCUACUAGUUGUAAUUGUUAAAAUAAUAAUUUGAAGUUCUGUAGGCUGAUGAUUAUGGGAAUGGCUAUCUAAGAGUAGGAAUAAGUAAUGUUGUUUUUGAUUCUCAGUUAAAACUACUUUAUUAAAGCUAUUAAAAUGAGAUUCUUCUUAAGGUGACGAACUGGCAGAACUAUUAGCAUCAUGGGUGAAAUGCUUGGCAUCAUUUUGUCUUGUCUUUACAUUCAGCUUUCACUGAGGUUGACUUUGCCUUUCAUCUUUUCAGUGUUGAUAAAUUAAGUACCAGUUUAAUACUGGGGUUGAUGUAAUUGACGCCCCCCCCUCCCUCCCUCAAAAUUGGUUACCUUGUGCCAAAAUUUGAAGCCAAUAUGAAUUCCUCUCAGACAUGGUGACUUUUUUAUUCCCCCCCCCCCCCCCCAACCCUUUUGUAAGAUUUUGUAUUUUAAUGCUGACGUAACAAUAUUAGUAGAUAGCUAAAGUGUGGUUAGAAUGGAACUAGAUUUCAGCUUAUUUACAACUCUGAUCUUAGUUCGAAUCUAUCACAGAUAUGUUAAUGAUAUCCCUUCAAUUGAUUUUAUCUCUCUCUCUCUCUGUCAGUAUUGAUUUUCAAAUUCCCCAACAUUUGUUGUGUCAGGGUUUAUGAAGUUAUCAGUCACACAACAAACAUUUGAGAUUUUCAGUAUUUCGGUUACUUCCUGGCAGGGUUUGUAAGUUGAAAAGGUAGGGAGGGGGCUAGUUGCAAAUGUGUUCCUUUUUUUUUUUUUUGUGCUCCUUUCUCCUCUUUCAGUCCUUUCCAGUACUUUUUAUAAAAGCCUUUCAUAUCUUCAAAAAUCCAACAAAUGUGACAAUCCAUCAUCCUUGAUUGAUUUCCCAGAAUCACACAACCAUGUUAUAAAAUUUUAUAAAAAUUGUAAUUCUUAUUAUUAUGUAUGUGUUGCCUAUGAUGGGCAAAAAGCUCUUAUUUUGAAACCUAUGAUUAUUAUUAUUAUGAUCUGUAGAAUUUCUCUUGUAUUUAUUUUAUGAAAUCUGUAUGUUCCAUUGUAAAAAUUCCUGUUUUGGUUUAAACGAAAAAAAAAAAAAAUCUGAAGAAAGAAAUUGAAAUAUGGAAAAAUAGCUUCAUUUCUAAAAUAAAUCUCUGGCAAUUCUGUUCCAUUUUUACCCCCUUUUCUGCCCCCUAUCCCCUUACUGCCAUCGAGAUUUACAGUUGUAUUAUGUUAUUUGUACCUGGCCAAGCAACUAGAAGGAUUACUACCAGUAAACACUAAAACAGAAGGACAAUGAAAUGAAUACACAUGCAAAAACGGUCAUUAAUGUAAAAGACACAAAGAAAACCCAUUACAUAUAUAUAUGUAUAUAUAUGAAGAACUCUUGGAAUAUGCUUAAUAUUUCUUUUGAGAAGCAACUUUUGACCACUGACUACUGAGUUGAAAGUGGACAAUAAUUAUUUAUUUGGGUGUCUUUGUUGACCUUUCAUUUACCAAUGUCUUUGGCCGCCUUGAAUUAGUUGACAGACAGUCUGUUAAUCCAAGGGAAACUGAAACGACAACAACAUCAUCAAUACCAAAAUCUGGUUGUGGAUAAUCUCUGGAGUUUCUUGCUCCCUCUUCUCUUCUCUCUCUCUCUCUCUCUCUUUCUCUCUCUUCCAUCGUGCCAACAUCUACAUUUCUGAGCAAAUGAACAAGACACACAUGAUUAAGAAUGGUCCAUCUUGGAGACAUGUUUAGUCUAGUGACCUGUUUGUUAUUCAUCUUCAACUUGGUCUGUAUAAUGGAAAGUUCUGGAACAGUCAGUUAGAAAUAGAGAGAGAGAGAGGCAGAUGGAGGUCGAGUGAGACCAUGGAGAAUGAGAAAAGGAAAAAUAUAAAAAUACAAAAAAAAAAUGCAAGGUAUAUGAAGAAAUGGAACAAAAUGUGAAGGAAAUGUUUCUUUUCUGAUAAAAUUCUUGGAACCAAUUAAGAGAUCACAGCUUACCAAAAUGAGCAAAAGAAAAAAAAAAGAAAACGUGACCUCCCAGAGUGACUGGUUAUGUGAAAUAUUGAAGUAUAAAUGUAUUUCUGUAUACACAAAUACAAAAUAUACACAUGCACACAUUCUAGUAAAUGUACAUGCAUGCAUAUAAAUAUGGUGCUGUGCAUUUGCUGUCUCAUGCAUCUAUCUUCAAACACUAGCAUACAUAGUCCAGAACAAUGUGUGUAUAUAAAUACAUAUGUAUACAUAUAUAUUUUGUGCAUACGCAGAUUUAAUCAAUCACAGCAACAAUAUCCCAACCAUAAUUUAAACUACAACAACCAAAAUGAAGAAAAAGAGGAAAGAAAUGGUGGCAGUAGUAAUGAUGACAAGAAUGGUGAUGGUGAUGCAUCGACUAUCAUUCUGAGAGUCAUUUGUUCCUUUAUUUUUUUUUUAGUUUGUUUUAAGUGGAGUGUAGCAAACAGCUGGGGGAUGGAUAUCUACCAAAUACAUGAAAGGAAAAAAAAAAAAAAGAAAUUUAAAAAUAAUCAGAAAGAAAAUCAUUUGCUGCAGCCAUGUUUAUUUUUUGGAUUACUUACCUAGUGUGUGGUUUCCUCAAUCCAAAUUUGCCUCUGUGGGUUAUCCUACUCACAUCUUGGGAUAAGUACUAAAACAGGUUGGUAUGUUUGUUCACUGUGUGUAGCAACAUUUAGUUGAUGUUAAUUUUUAUAUUUUACUCAGCAGAUUUUUUUUAAACCAUUAUUAUUAUUAUUGAUCAAUUAACCUGUUUUGUUUGUUUUUAAUUUUUUGUCCCUUUUUUUCUGUAUAUUUUUACCAUCUCCACAGACACACACACACAGCCAUCUAAAAAUUAAACUUUUUAGUUUUAGCAGUUUUCUUUUUCAUAUUUUGCUAAAAUAAUUCAUUUAAAAGAUUUAACCUCCAAAAGACACCAGUUGUUGUGUCUCAAAAGAAAGACAAGGAAUGUAAGCAAGACAUGAUUUCUCUCUUAUUGGAAUUUUGAGUUCUGUGGUGCAGGUGUGUGUGUUUGUGGGGUUGAUGUAUUCAUACAAACUGAGUAUCUCUAGCAAAAGACAGAAAGAAGAAAAUGAAAAAAAAAAAAUGUAUUCUCUGCAAAGACUGGUAUAUAUAUAUAUAAUGUAUGUGUAUAUAUCUUUAUAGAAGGCAAAUCUAUUCAAUUCUUGUUUAAAAAAAAAAGAAUUUUUUUCUUAAUAAAUAUUUUAAAAAAUAUAUCAAAAUUUGAAAUUACAAAAAGCCCUGUGGAUAUUUGAUUAAGUUUUUGUUUUCAUAAGGACGGAGUGAAACCUGUUUGGUUCCGCUUCUGGAGUGAUUAUGUUUCCCAUCAGUCUUCCGUAACUAUGACAACUAACCCCUAGCCAAUUCUCUCUUUCAUCAAUACACUUGCUAUCCUACUCAGGUGUGUAAUUUGCGACCGUACCCCAGGUAUGUUUCUCUUUACUUGUUAAUUCAUCUCUUCAUCAUUUGGCAUUUAUUUAUCCUCUACAAUCACAACCGACAACGUACUCAACUAGUUUCACACCAAAAUUCACCCUUUUAUCUCGUAUCUAAUUCUAAUCGAAAGGUAAUUGUUGAUUUUUUUUUUUUUUGUUAACUUUUUCUACCAGCAGAGAACAGCUUCCAUCAAUUUCUUCUGAACUCUUGCCUCCUACAUUCUUUUUUAUAUCUUUGCUGCAAUCUCUCUCUUUAUUUUUUCCUUUCUUUCUCUUUGAGUUCCAUAACCAUGUGUUGCAAUAACUGCAGAAGUAACAUUUCCUUUGUCAUAUUUAAUGCUGUGCUCUUUAAUUUUUUGCUUCCAUGUCAAAAUUUGCUGCUACUUAAGCCCAUUUCUGACCCUCUAUUUUACACAACCUGGUCACUGAUUUAUUACACCUAAGUUUUAGAUAAUUAAGAGGCUUUAGAAAUGUUUUGGUAAAAUAUCAGCAACUUUUACAUAUUUUUAUUUAUUCAUAUAUAUAGAGAGAUAGAUAUCUUCUAUUUUUUUACUUGUUUCAGUCAUUGGGCAGUGGCCAUGCUGGGGCAUCACCUUGACACAGUUUAGUCGACUGAAUCAACCUCUGUCUUUUACCGAACCGCUAAAUUAUGGGGACGUAAACACACCAACACCAGUUGUCAAGCAGUGAUGAGGAACAAGCAAAGACACACACAUGCGUAGACAUGUAUGUGUAUAUACACACACAGUGGGCUUCCUUCAGUUUCUGCCUCCCAAAUCCACUCAGAAGGCUUCGUUCAGCCCAAGGUUGACACUUGCCCAAGGUGCCACACAGGUUACACUUUUAUAUAUAUAUAUUAAGGUUUUAUAGUUUGCUUGAAGCAUUGUAUAUGGAAUAUAACAUUGAAAGAUUUAAAAGCCAAACAAUGCAAAUAGAUUUUAAGAUGAGGUAACAUAAACUAAAAGUAAAUUACCUGGUAAUCUUUGGUCGUAUAUUUGUCCAAUAUUUCGGGACAUACAAGUCCCUUCUUCAGGGUUAAAAAGGAACUGUCCUUGGCGAGAUGUUUUUUGUUGGCGAUAAAAUUAUUCUAUGAUAUAUUUGAAUUUUCAAGCGUUUCUUUUCUUCAUGAAUGUUAGUGACGUCAAUUAUUAACUUAUCGCUCCACAAAUCAAUUUUCAUCCCCUCUUGUGGACUGAUGUUGGUGUGUUUACAUUCCCUUAACUUAGCAGCUUGGCAAAAGCGACUGAUAGAAUAAGUACUAGUCUCACAAAGAAUAAGUCCUGGGGUCGAUUUGUUCGACUAAAGACAGUGCAUGGCCACAGUCAAAUGACUGAAACAAGCAAAAGAAUAAAAGAAUUCAUGUAAUUUUUAGAAUUCAUUUUUAAAAAAUUUUUUAAUGGUUACUAGUUAAGGCAGUGAGCUUUGCAGAAUAUUUUCUGUGCCAGACAAAGUACUUAGCAGCAUUUUUUCUGGCUCUUUACAUUUUGAGUUCAGAUGCAGCUGAGGUUGACUUUGCAUCUCUGUCCUUUCAGGGUCGCUAAAAAUAAAUACCAGUUGUGCAUUGGCAUCAAUGUAAUCAACCUCCUCCUCCCCUCAAAAUUGUUGUCCUUGUGCUAGAAUCGAAACAGAUAUUAACUGUUACUAGUCAGACUUUCUCUAAUCUGCUGGUGCACUUACUUAUAUACCUUUGCCUUUUAAGCACAUUUAAAUGAAAGUGAAAAUAUUCCCUUUACUAUGGUGUCUACUAUCAACUGAUAGUAGGUAACUCAAAGCCUUAUUUCAAAUGUAGCAUGCCUUUGUUUUAUUUAAUCAUAAUGCGCAUUAUAUUUUCAUAUAAUUUGUCAUGUUAAUUUCCAGUUUGCCAUAAUAUUAUUACUAUUAUUAAGGCGGUGAGUUGGUAGAAAUGUUAGCACGCUGGGCAAAAUGCUUAGCGGUAUUUUGUCUGUCUUUACAUUCUGAGUUCAAAUUCUGCCAAGUUCAACUUUGCUUUUCAUCUUUUUUGGGGUUGAUAAAUUAAGUACCAGUUGUGUACUGGGGUUGAUCUAAUUGACUGGCGCCCUUCCCAAAAAUUUCGGGCUUUGUGCCUAAAUUAGAAAAGAUUAUUAUUAUUAUAGCAGUGAGCUGGAAGAAUCGUUAGAACAAAAUGUUUUGUGGCAUUUCUUCUGCCUUUCCUUUCUGAGUUCAAAUUCUGCCAUGGUCAACUUUGCCCUACAUUCUUUUGGGUUUGAUUAAAAAUAAGUACCUGUUGGGCACUGGGAUUGAUGUAAUCAAUUUACCCCCUCCCUCAAAAUCACUGGCCCUCGUGCCAAUAAUUUGAAAUUAUUGUUAUUAUUAUUUAUUAAUGGGUGGAUGAAUUUGUAAAGCCACAAGCAGAAUGCCUUAUGGUAUUUAGUUAUGUCUCUAAUGAUCUGGUCUGCUCUUUGUUCAUAUUUGUUCAUUUAAUUUACAUCUGUUUUUUCAUGCUGACAUGUGUUAGAUGGAGACUUAUUUGGAGACAUUAUUUUUAUUUUAUAGUCAGGUGCUCUUCCUAACUGUUACUUGUUUUUCAAAUGAGGGCUUUUUAAAAAAAAAAAAAAUUCUGCUGGUCUUUGUUUAUAAGGAAUGUAAAUGUGAAGAUGUGGAAUGUUGAUAUAUAAUGGGCUUUCAUACCAUUCUCGUCUGCCAGUUCCACUUCCAAGGCAUGUACCAGUGAUAGACAUAAUAAUCAAGGGGGUUGCUGUCUAAGGAGUUAGGUGGCCAGAUGUUGGAGGUGAUGUGGUCACAGAAAUUGUCUGACAGCCAUGACUGGGUUCUCCUGCUUUUGUGGCAUGGUGCAGAGUCCUGCUGCUAGACAUAGGGUCUUCCAGGCACUUGAUGUAGGACGUGUGGGAAGUAGCUUAUAUCCUCUACUCUUACUCCAUACUUUUUGGUUUUGUGCCUGUGCCAGAAGGGAAGAACACAUAGUCAGGUGGUCGCAAUCAUAAGAUCAUGGUUGCGAUUCCUUGACUGGGUGAUGUGUUGUGUGUGUUCUUGAGCAAAACAUUUCAUGUGACAUGGCUCCAGUUCACUCAACCAUAAACAAGUUCCAGCAAUAGCUGAGAAAUUGGCCCUGCAGUAGACUGGCUUCACAUUUGGUCAUUCAGAAAGGUGUCACUUGUGCAUCAUGGAAACUGGGUUGAGUUCUGGCUUUUUGAGGCCUAGAGCUCAUGAUAGAUCUCAUGACAGAAUCUGUGUCACAAGUGGAUUAAAUGCCUUGUGGUGUUAGAUACAUCCCACAACUUUCUGAGGUCAGUAUAUAUCAUCAUCAUCACAUCCAAUUCUACAUGCUUGUAGGAGUCAGAUGGAAUUUGUAAAGUUAAAUUUCUUGUGGCUGGAUGUUCUUCCUGUCAACAACCCUCGCCUGUUUCUAAGCAAGAUGUUUCCCCAUAGCCUCAUAUCAAGACAUGGAUGCACACAUAAGUUGGUGUUAGGAAGAGCAUCUAGCUGUAGAAACCCUGCCAAAACUGACAACAGAGCUUGGCACAGUCCUCUGGCUUGCUAGCUCUUGUCAAUACAUCCAACCCAUGUCAAUGUGGAUAACAAACAUUAAAUGAUGUUGAUGAUGAUCAUGGUGAUGUAUUUGCGCUAUAGGCUUCUUUCAGGUUUCACCUACCAUAUCCACUCAAAGCUUUGGUUUGCCAAGUGCUUUGGUAGAAAAAACUUGCACCAGGUGGCAUGCAGUAGAACUAGACUCAAGACCAAAUAGUUAGGAGGUACACUUCUUAAAAACUCAGCUGAGCCAUACUGGUACCUUCUAUAUAUAGGUGCAGGAGUGGGUGUGUAGUAAGUAGCUUGCUUACUAACCACAUGGUUCCAGGUUCAGUCCCACUCCGUAGCACCUCGGGCAAGUGUCUUCUGCUAUAGCCUCAGGCUGACCAAAGCCUUGUGAGUGGGUUUGGUAGACAGAAACUGAAAGAAGCCCAUCGUAUAUCGGGUGAGGUGGUGAAGUAUAACCUUUGAACAUUGGGCUUCACAGAGACAAUGCCAAAAGACAGAUCUCUGGAGGUAUGCUGUGACUGAGAAGACCCGGCAAAUAAAGUGAGUCCCCAUCUGUAACCUUCACCAGUGUCGCAUAAACAGCCCACUCAAAAGUACCCUGGAUCAUAGGGCGAUAUGCUGUGCUUGAGGAGACAUAUUGGAUUAAGUACAUCAACAGCAAUAUCAAAAUCAAAUUAAACGGAAAUUGUAGUUGUGAGCUCCAUGCUGGUAGCACAUAAAAAGUAUCAUCUGAACGUGGCUGAUGCCAGAGCUGCUUUGACUGGCUUCUGUGCCAGUGGCACGUAAAAUUCACCCACUACACUCUCAGAGUGGUUGGCAUUAGGAAGGACAUCCAGCUGUAGAAACACUGACAGAUCAGGUUGGGGCCUGGUGCAGCUUCCUGGCUUUCCACACCCAAGUCGAAUCAUCCAACCCAUGCCAGCAUGAAAAACAGACAUUAAGCUGUGAUGAUGAUGAUGAUAAUGGUGAUAUAUAUGUGUGUUUACAUCCUCGUAACUUAGCGGUUUGGCAAAAGGGACUGGUAGAAUAAGCACUAGACUUACAAGAAUAAGUCCUGGGGUUGAUUUGUUCAACUAAAGGUGCUGCUCCAGCAUGGCCACAGUCAAAUGACUGGAAUAAAUUACAUGAGCUGUGCACUUCUAGAAUCUGUGGUUUUGUGUGUAUUACAGAUCAUUGUUAUCAUUACAUGGAUUUCAAGUGUUUGGGCAGAAAGCAAGAUACCAGUGGAUACAAUCUUCGAUUUGGCUGCAUUGAUUUUCUACCAAAAUGUGAUACCCAUCCGCAUAGUUUAAUGUCAAUAAUUGGUUAGGUAUAACCGUAAAAAUCUGUCUUAGGGUUCCUCCCUCCAGAUUUGUGUAAGAAUUUAUUUGUUUCGCUAUUUUUAAAGCUCAAUAAAUUACCCCACUUGGUUGAUGCAGUCAGUACUGCUGUCUUGUCUGGUGCUGUGAUUCCAGUAAUUAUCAGGAUGCAAGAUUUGUAUGGAGUUACCUGUUCUGAGAUGAGCAGCUAAACGCUCGAGAACCUCAUCUGCCUUGGGUUCAUUGGGGUGUCUGUGAGUGACCUUCUUCUGGAGCCAAUUCCAUGACACGCUAAUCAACCCAUAGAUAGGACCCGGGUAUGAUGUGGUUCCACACUCCUCAAAAUUUUUGGAACUCUCGAACCAGACCCUGAUACUAGUUUCUGAUUGGAAAAUUGAUGUGUGGGUCCUCAGCCCUGACAAUAAUCGCACUGAUUUUGCCAAGUGUUGGUCACAUAUUUAUUGAAUUCCUCAUAGCAAAAUGGGUAUCAGACUGCUGCUUUCACCACUGUAAUUUACAGUCAUACCUAGAACAUAUAGACUAUAAUUGGCUCUAAUUAGAUUCAGCCACUUCGUAAAUAAUCUGUAGACAUGAUAUUCCAGAGUCCAUUGCAAUCAGGAUAUCCUAUGGCACACUAUGAUCAACAUACUCAAAAGCUGCUGCAAAAGUCAUGAAGCAAAUGAUGGUUCACUAUUAGUAGCUCCAAUGUUUUCCCAGAACCCUUUUCUGAUUGGAAAUUUGAUUUCCAAUCAGCCCUGACAAUAAUCACACAGAUUUUGCCAAAUGUUGGUCACAUGUUUAUUGAAUUCUUCAUAGCAAAAUGGUAUUAGACUGCUGCUUUCACUACCACAAGCCUGGACAAAGAUGAGCUAGAUGCCUGUAUUUUCUAUGCAAAUACUGUAUUCUAUCAUUAUCUUUCAAGUCAGGGGAUCUUGUAACCACAAAAAUAUAUCUCUCUUAAGUGCUCAUUCAUGCUAACUUGUGAGACACAACUUAUAAGUGCAGUGGAUUUAUUUAAGGUAGAAGUGUUUGGUCUAUGAUUAGGCUUUACAUUUUGUGUUGAACCCUGAAGUUUGUUGAUGUUAUCAGAUUAAUUCUCUUCAACAUCUCUUUCUCAGAUGGCAGUGCCUUUGAUCAUGUGCUUAGUUGUCUAAGAGGUGAACUCUUCUGUGAUACAGUCAUGCCAGAGUCCAUCAUAAGACCAUAAUCCAGUUGUGCCUGAGUUUCUCAUUGGGUAGUAUAAACAGUGAGGCUUUCAGCUGAAAACAGACAGGCAUUAUCAACUUGGAUCUUGAAUCAACAAAUGGUCCUUGCAUUUAAAUGUGACUUUACAUUAGACAACAUUGAUUGUCUGGCAUGGUCAUCUUCUGCGCAUGAUGCUGAAAGUUAAUGGACUGGAAUUCCAACAGAAGGUAAAGUAUAUUUCAACCAAGAAUUGAACCUGACUACAGGAGACUCCACUUGAGGCUCACUUUUCCACCGAGCUUUACAAAAUAGUCUAAUCUCGAUUCUUGCCUUAGCAAACUAACUUUGUGCAGUCUGUAGCAGACUGUUUCAAAAAUCCCAUUAUCACCAGCUAGUGACCCAACAAAGUAUUGUUUGCCUUGCUAGAAAUAACAUUUGUUCUGACUAGUCUUGGGAGGCCCACAAAGGUUCUAGGCUCUGUUCCUCUUCAAGAUAAAGUUACAUCUUUUCAUGUUAGGACAGUCAAUGGAAUCACUGUACCACCAUUACUGUUCAGUCCUCACAUAAUCAAACAAUGGACAAAACUGGACAAGUAUUGUUUGCCUUGCUAGAAAUAACAGCCAAAUCUCUCAGUUCAUACUUUGCUGUCAUUGAAAAGAGGACACGCAUUUAAUGAAUUGGUUGUGGCUCUUCUUGAUCAGAAGUGAUUUGCUGUUAAACAACCACUAUGUCUACUACGGCAGAUACACAUUUAUUACACAUGUUAGUGACCUCAUGCUUGAGAUUUUGAUAUUCUCAACAAUGUCUUCAUUCCUUCAUCCUAGUUCUCUUUAUCAUCAGGUAUUACAUCAUUUAACAUCUGUUUUCCAUGAUGACAUGGAUAGGAUGGAGCUGCACCAGGCUCCAGUCAUCUAUUUUGGCAUGGUUUCUGUGGUUAGAUGUCCUUCCGGUUGCCAACCGCUUUACAGAGUGUACUGGGGCCAUGCCUUUUACAUGGCAGCAGCACCAGUGCUUUUACAAGGCAAUGACAUCACUGUUUCUAAUGUGGCAUUGGCAUAGGUGCCCCUUAGGUGGAACCAUCACAGGUAAUUAUUUCAUAUGCUAAAGUGUUGAGCUAAAUGUCUUAGUAUAUACUAUAUUUGAUGGCAUAUAAGACACCCAAAAAUUAUCUCUAAAAAAAUCACCUCAGAUUUUAUAUACAAAGUUAAACCUCCUAUAAGCUUUAAUACAGUAAAAACAUUUUUACCUGAAAAUAUACUGAAAUACAUUACUGAAAUUGAGGUGUGUCUAAUAUAACUGUGCGUUAUUUAUGAGACAUUACAUUGGUUAGUAUUAGAUUUGUCUUGUUUGGUCUAAAUUCAUAUUCUGUCCAGGCCAGUUUUGUCCAUUGUUUGAUUAUGUGAGGACUGAACAGUAAUGGUGGUACAGUGAUUCCAUUGACUGUCCUAACAUGAAAAGAUGUAACUUUAUCUUGAAGAGGAACAGAGCCUAGAACCUUUGUGGGCCUCCCAAGACUAGUCAGAACAAAUCUGUUGGUGUUAAGUUUAAAACAUCUGGAGGUAGAUGCUCCAAUAAGUUCAGGCUUGAUUUCGUUCCAUUAAUUAAUGUAAUGAAUGAUAUGGAACCUUUUAGUUCAUUUUUUUUCAUCCUAUCUCUCUCCCUCCCCAUCCCUCUCUCUCAAGAGAAGUUUCCAGUAAGUGAAUGAUUGAACAUCUAUUCAUAUUUGUAAAUAUUGAAUGAAUCUCACCUGUCGCUUUGUGGGGCCCAAUGCUUGCAUUGAUUCUUGAUUUGUCCAGGUAUAAACAGUUACUUCUUAGUAAUACUAUCUACGUUUAUGUUUGCUGUAUAUAUGUGUGUAUAUAUAUUCGGGGUGCAAUGAAUAAACUGUCAUCUAAAUUACGCAAAAAUGAAAAUAACACUGACAUCUCAUUUUAACAGAGAUAUUUACCAAAAUUACAUAAAAAUAUCUUGAAAUACUAAAGAGUGAAUUUUUAAAAUAAAAUUGCCAUUGGCUUCAACCACAGCCUCCAGACGAUUUUGGAAUCUCCUGCAACUCUUCUGGACAGUCUUCUUAUUUAAGUUGGUGAAUGCUGUCAAAAUCUUCGCCUUGAGUUCAUCUUUGGUGUUACAGGGAGUUUUGUUGGUCUCUCACUCAACUGCGUCCCAUACAUAAUAAUCAAGGGGGUUGCUGUCUAAGGAGUUAGGUGGCCAGAUGUUGGAGGUGAUGUGGUCACAGAAAUUGUCUGACAGCCAUGACUGGGUUCUCCUGCUUUUGUGGCAUGGUGCAGAGUCCUGCUGCUAGACAUAGGGUCUUCCAGGCACUUGAUGUAGGACGUGUGGGAAGAUGAAUGGAGGUAUAACAUCACCAUCACUAGUGAUCACUCUCAGUACUCUGCACUAUCCUCAGAUCGACACCCAAACACUCUGAAAUGUUCAUAUUGGAGCUUCUGGUGUGAGUGCCAAGCAGUACAGCAUGUGGUUUCCAAAUUUCUGGCAGAAUGAAUUGCAUCAUGGUGCUGUUUUUUUUCAUAGACAGUGCCCAACUGACCCUACUAUAUUGGGUAUUAUUUGAUUCUUUCACACGCACAAUUUUCACUAAGAAAUUUUUAAAAAAAACUCAGAUUUUUUGUGUGGAAUCAAGUACCCUGACCUCCCCUUAUUUUUGUUCAGAAAAAAAGGGGUGGGUGGGAAACCAAACCCCUUCCUCCAUCCCAGAAUCAUUGGAUUUUUUUUUUUUUUUAUUCGACUGAAUUCUGGUGACCUAAUAUGCUACAAAACGUUUUAUGGGUCCGGGAAACGGGAUGGGGUGGGGUGGAACCCUCAGUAAUUUGACUCCCCACCCCCAUUUUCAAAUAUUUUUCUCUAUUUCUUUCUUUAAUGUAAUGAAUGACAUUCAAUAGAAAAUUCAAAGUUUGAAAUAAAUAAGUGAAGAUGAAGAGGUUAUAGAAGUUACCCCCACCUUUUUUUUUUUUCCAAACCAAAAUAAGGGAUUUGCAGCAUAUCAGGAAGUCAGGGUACUUGAUUCCAUGCAAAAAAUACAGGUUUUUUUUCUUAGUGCAGGAGUAGCUGUGUGGUAAGUAGCUUGCUUACCAACCACAUUGUUCCAGGUUCAGUCCCACUGCGUGGCACCUUGAGCAAGUGUUUUCUACUAUAGCUUUGGGCCAACCAAAGCCUUGUGAGUGGAUUUGGUAGACAGAACCUGAAAAAAGCCUGUCAUAUAUAUGUGUGUGUGUGUUUGUUUGUCCCGUCCCCCCAACAUUGCUUGACAACCAGUGCUGGUUUGUUUAUGUCCCCAUAACUUAGCGGUUCGGCAAAAGAGACCAAUAGAAUAAGUAUUAGGCUUACAAAGAAUAAGUCCUGGGGUCGAUUUGCUGGACUAAAGGCAGUGUUCCAGCAUGGUCGCAGUCAAAUGACUGAAAUAAUUAAAAGAGUGAAAAUUGUGCAGGUGAAAGGAUCAAAAUUUACCCUAUAUUGUGUAGUCAACAAAAUCAAAAACAAAACAAUGUGCUGCCUGACUGGCUCCCAUGCUGGUGGCAUGCAAUAAGCACCUUUCAUGUGUGGGUCGUUGCUAGUGCUGCCUGACUGGCUUCCUGUGCCGGUGGCAUGUAAAAAGCACCAUCCAAACGUGGUCGAUGCCAGCCCCCUUGCCCCAACUGGCUCCCAUGCUGGUGGCACCUAAAAAGCACGUGCUACACUCACGGAGUGGUUGGCAUUAGGCAGAGCAUCCAGCUGUAGAAGCCUUGCCAGAUCAGAUUAGAGUCUGGUGUUGGCUUGCCAGUCCCCAGUCAAACCGUCCACCCCAUGCCAGCAUGGAAAACUGAUGUUAAACAAUCAUGAUGAUGUACAUGCACGAAAUCAUGCUGGUGGUUCCAAAAAAGCACCUGCUACACUCACGGAGUGGUUGGCGUUAGGUUAUUUGUUUCCAGUGAUCCAUGAAAAUUAUGUCUGGCCAUGGAAAAAUAUUACCUUGCUUGGAAUAUAGUGCUAAUAACUUGUUGUUAAUAGUAACCUUACAAGAGACAUUUACUGAGUUGAAGAUCUGUGGAGUGUCUCUAAAACCUAUCCCAUGUCAUCAGUUUGUUCAGGAGGAACGUAGCAGAAUUCCUCAACAACAGGCUAGACCAAAUAUUGUUCACUGAUCCAUCAUUCUUCUAUAGAAUAUGCUUCUACGCUUGUAAUCCCUUAAGACCACAGCCAUGUUGACAAUAUCAGCUAGUCAUUUAGAGUUUAUGAACCACUAGUACAGGUUUCAAUUUUGGCCCUCCUCAACCACACUUUCAACCUCUGUAGCAACUUGGUAAAUUUUCUAUGCCUUUGUGUGUGUGCAUUUCUGUAAGCAAAUGUGCAUAGCUAAUUAAAAUAAGCCAUAGUUAUAUCUGUAUGUAUCAUCGUCUUUGUCAUUUAACCCCUGUUUUCCAUGCUGGCAUGGGUUGGAUGGUUUGACAGGAGCUGUUAAACUGGAGGGUUACACCAGGCCUCUAUUUGUUUUGGCAUGGUUUCUAUUGCCGGGUGCCCUUCCUACCUCCAACCACUUUACAGAGUUUACAUGGCACUGGCACGUGUGCUUUCUAUAUAGCACAGGCGUUUUCUUCAUGAUGCCAACACAGUUGCUUUUCUCGUGGCACCAGUACCCACAGGGUUGCCAAGUGGCUGUGUGUCAGGUGAGAGGCUGGAUUACAGAAGGUCGGGGAUACCUGUCUUGCAUUCAACAGUUGCAAGAUUGUGGUUUCUAUUCCUGGGUUGGGCAGUGCAUUGUGUUCAUGAGCUCUGAUGCACUCACUCGUAAAUGUGUAAUCCUGUGAUGGACUAGCAUCCCAUCCAGGGGGAAUGUUGCAAACCUGGUCAUUUACCCACUUUCACCUGACCAAAGGCAGUAGUGUCCAGGUAUGGAUGAUUACAAUGAUUCGCUAGAGUGAUGAUUCGACAGAACCUUUAAAGCUGUGGCCCUCAACCGUUGAUUUCUGCUUUUCUCAGUUGGAUCCUCAUAAUCAGUCAGUAUUUAAAAAAUCUUAUUUUUAUGCUUAAAUAUUAUUAUUGUCUCAAAGUAUUCUGUGUAUUGUAGAAAUAUAACCAAUUUUUAGCAUCAAAGCCUUAUGUGAAUGCCUCAACAGCCAUAUGAACCCUGGUUCAUAUGAAUCACUGAUUUAAAGUGUAGGCCAAAAUACUCUACAGUUCUAUAUUUAAGAGAUGAGGAAUUAUGUACAUUAUUUACAUAUGGAUAGCAGUUAAGAGCAUGAGCUAUUAACCCCAAGAUUCUGAGUUCGAUUCCAGGCAGUGACCUGAAUAAUAAUAAUAAUAACAUUGAAAAAUACCUUAGGAAUGAGAAUCCAGGUUCGAAAUUUCCCCAAGCCACCUGAUGAAGGCUGGAGAGUAUAUCAGCCGAAAUGUGUUAACAACAAACAAGAUUAAAAUACUUUACGGUGUGUGUUACCUCCUCUCCACUCUGAGAUUAAAUCUCACCAAGGUCAAAGUACCAGUCCAGAAUGGUAUAUUGGUGGAAUGGAUGAGAUACCUUGUAUUCAAUCCAGUUCUUGGGUAGUAAAUUUAAUCGCUCACCCAGUUUAACACCACCAUCUGGUUAUUGGGUGCCUGUUAGAAGCGUUUGGAUCCGAUCUCUCUGACUUUAGGAUGACAUUCUCCUACCAGUCUUAUAGGACCUGAAAAAACAGAAAAUAAAAAGGCUACCCUCUCUGAACCAUAAGCAUGGAAACAAAGUUUGCUUAAGAAGUGCAAACCCACGUCCAAAAGUUUUUACAAACGAGAUUGAUUUUUAUUCAAUCUAAAUAUCAAAAUGAUGACAGGUAUAAUAAUUAUAAUUAUAAUUAUUGUUAUAUUUGGUUGGCCCAAGGCUAUAACAGAAGACUCUUGCCCAAGGUGCCACACAGUGGGACUGAACCCAGAACCAUGUGGUUGGGAAGCAAGCUCCUUACCACAUGUAUAUGUACUUGACAUCAUUUGAUGGUUGUAAAUGAAUGUCAGCAGAAUUCUAGUUUAUGCAUGCCAUAUAACCCCUCAUAACCUCUUUAAUUUUUGGAAUUUUCAGAAAAUGAUUGGUGCAUCAUUUAAGGCUUAUUUAGCUGUUAUUUUUAGCAUAUCUCACAACCACCUGAUACCCUCCUCUUUUCUUUAUCACUGACGUAUUGAUGCUUUUCAAUAUCUUUCUCCCCAUAAACACAUUUAGUGGUCUAUUUUGCUGGGAUUUAAGCCAAAAAUUCAGACUGUUUUAAACUGUGAUUGAAAAAAACUUUUCUGAAAAUUCCAAAAAAUAAAACUGUUACAAUGGGUUAUAUGGUGUGCUUAAAGCAGAAUUCUACCUGAAAAUCAUUGUCAUACAAGUGUUGAUUGUUUCCAGUCAUAUGUGGAAAGCGUAUCUGGCAAUGGGAAAAGGAUGGCAACAAGAGCAUCUGCCUCAUAAAUUCUACCUGAUCCAUGCAAGCAUGGAAAAAUGGACGCUAAAUGAUGCUGGUGUUGAAUUCCUGUAGGGGAAGUGAGAUUUUAAACUUACAUCUUGGAGGAAUUCAAUUAACCCUUUAGCAUUUAAACCGACCAAUAUACUCUCCCUGUUUUGUGUUCAAAGUGACCAGACUCUCACACUUGCCCUACAAUAUUAUUCUAAAAAUAAACACUCAUGUCAUUGAAAUUUCAAAGCUACGAGAUAAUUUAUGUUUAAUUCAAAACAACAUGAAUAAAUAAGUAUUAUACUUGACAGAGUAAUUUGAAUGCCAAUGGGUUAAGCUUUUUGUUGCCAUAUUUCUGUUGGAAUACAGUGCCUUUGUUUCAGUUAGUUUUGAAAAUAAUGCAGAUUUUAGUAAAAUAAUUUUGUCAUGUGUGGAACAUAGCAUAAAAUUUUGAUGGAAGGUUUUAAUUUACAUUAUUUACAUUGGACAGAUAUGUGUCCUCAUCUUGUUGUUACCAUAAUGUUUCGCCUGAUGUACUCUCCACCCUUUAUCAGGUGUCCUGGUGGAAUUUCAAGCCCAACCCUUUAUUUGACUAAUGGGAGUACUCUGUUCUCAUUGCUAAGGUAUUUUUUGCUGAUGUUAUUAUUAGGUCGAGGAAAAAGUUUGUGCAUUGUGUUAAAAUAUUGCUUUUUUAUAUAUUUUUGUGGUGUGUGUGUUCAUUCAGUUCAUUAUUUUAACAUGCUGCACAAACUUUUUCCUCAACCUAUUAUUAUUUAUUCAAGUCAAUGACUGCAAUUGAACGUGGAAUCUUGAAGUUUGUAGCCCGUGCAUAUAGCGUAGUGGUUAAGAGUGCGGGCUACUAGCCUCAAAAUUCUGAGUUCAAUCCCAGUCAGUGACUUGAAUAAAUAAUAACAUCAGUAAAAAAUAUCUUAGGAAUGAGAACAGAGUAUCCCAUUAGUCAAAAAAAGGGUUGGGUUUGGAAUUCCACCAGAACACCUGGAGAGUACAUCAGCCGAAACGUUAUGUUAACAACAAACAAGAUGAGGACACAUAUCCAUCCAUUGUAAAUAAUGUACGUAAUUCCUCAUCUCUAAAAUAUAGAACCGGUUUUAAUUUACAUCAUUUUAAAACAAAAACGUUUGUAUCAAAGAACCAUGGGCAGUCUCAGAUAGACACAUAAUAAUUUUUUCUACUAUAAGCACAAGGCCUGAUAUUUUGGGGGAGGGGACUAGUCAUUUACUUCAACCCUAGUGCUCCACUGGUAUUUAUUUGAUUGACCCCAAAAGUGAUAAAAGGCAAAGUCAACCUCCACAGAAUUUGAACUCAGAACAUAGCAACAGGCGAAUACCGCUAAGCAUUUCAUCCAGUAUGCUAACAAUUCUGCCAGCUCACUGCUUAAAUAAUAAUAAUAAUAAUUCUUUCUAAUUUUAGUACAAGGCCAGCAAUUUUAAAGGGAAUGAGGCAUAUAAAUUACAUGGACCCCAGUACUUGACUGGUACUUUAGUGGCCCCAAAAGGAUAAUUGGCAAGAUCUGAGCUAAGCUUGUUGCUUAAUAAUUCUUUCUAAUUUUGGAACAAGGCCAGCAAUUUUGGGAGGCAGGGUGGUAAGUCAACUACAUCCCACCCCACCAAAGUACUUCACUGUUUCUGUUUCAUCAUCCCCAAAGGAUGAAAGCAAAGUCAGUGUCGGAAUUUGAACUCAGUGUGCCACGAAGUAUUUUGCCCAGCAUUCUAACAAUUCUACCAACUCACCCCUUUAAGAAUGAUUCUGAAUUGUGGCACAAGGCCAGCAAUUUCGGAGGAGGGACUAAGUUAGUUGCAUGAACCCCUGUGUUCAACUGGUACUUAAUUUAUUGACCCUGGAGGGCGAAGUCAACCAUGGUGGCAUUUGAACUCAGAGUGUAAAGUUAGAAGAAAUGCCUCUAAGCAUUUUGUCUGGCACGGUAACGCUUCUGCCAGCUCACUCAUUAAAAUAAUAAUAUUGAUAAUAAUAAUAAUAAUCCUUUCUACUAUAGACACAAGGUUUGAAAUUUUGCAGGAGGGGACUAGUUGACUACAUCAACUCCAGUGUUUCAUUGGUUCUUAGUUUAUUGACCCCAAUGGAUGAAAGGCAAAUAUGACCUUGGUGGCAUUUGAACCCAGAACAUAAAGGCAGAUAAAAUGCUGCUAAGCAUUUUGCCUGGCAUGGUAACGAUUCUGCCAGCUCACUGCCUUAUUAAUAAUAAUAAUCCUUUCUACUAUAGGCACAAGGCCUGAAAUUUUGGGGGAGGGGAAUUGUCAAUUACAUCGACCCUGGUAUGCAUCUGGUAUUUAAUUUAUCGAUCCUGAAAGGAUGAAAGGCAAAUUCGAUCUCAGCAAUAUUUGAACUCAGAACGUAAAGUCAGACGAAAUGCCACUAAGCCUUUAGCCCUGUGUGCUAACAACUCUGCCAGCUCGCCAUUUCAAUAAUAAUAAUAAUAAUGGUUUUUAAUUCAGGCAUACGGUUAGCAUUUUUGAGGGGAGGGGAGGGGUUAGUUGAAACCCUAAUACUGAACUGGUACUUUGUUAUUGACCUAAAAUGAAUGAAAGGCAAUGUUGACCGUGCCAGAAUUUGAACCUAGAACACAGGAAAUACCACAAGGCAUUUAUUGUGUCAAAUGCUCUAAUGAUUCUGUCAAUCAACUAAAGGCACAAGGCCUGAAAUUUGAGGGGUGGGGACCAGUCGAUUAUAUCAACCCCAGUGCAUAAUUGUUUCAAAUUUCGGCACAAGGCCAGCAAGUUUAUGGGAGGGGUUAAGGUGAUUACAUUGACCCUUCCCCCCCAGUGCACAAGGGUACUUAUUUUGCCAACCUCAGCAGAAUUUGAACUCAGAAUGUGAAGAUGGCCUAAGCUCUUUGUCUGGCCUGCUAAUUAUUCUGCUAGCUCUCUGCCUUCAAGCAUCUUUAACCCUUUCGUUACUGUAUUUAUUUUGAGAUGCUCUGUGUUUCUUUCAAUUACUUUAAAUAUAACAAAGAAUUUAAUAAAAUAAUUUAGUUAUCAUUCAGCUAGUGUUAGGAACAUAAAUUGUGAAUAAGCUUUGAUUGAAGAUUUUAAUUCAAAACUUAUGAAAACAAGACAUUUGUACUCAGACCCAGAGCCGGUUUCAGCUGGGUUGGUAAGGAAAGGGUUAUUAAUAAUAAUAAUAAUAAUAAUAAUUUAAGAUUUUGUACAAGGCCAAUACUUUUCUGGUACUUUGGUAUUUUAUCAACUCCAAAGGAUGGAAGGCAAUUUGACCUCAUCAAGAUUUGAAAACAAAACAUAAAGAGCUAGUACAAAGCAUUUUUUUCUAAUACUUUAAUGAUCCAGCCAAUCCGUCAUCUUUAUUGAUACUGGUGGUGAUGUUAAUAAUAAUAAUAAUAAUAAUAAUGAUUUCUUUAUUAACCAUUAAGUGUUUACAAGCAGAUCAGGGAUGGUACAGAGCAAUAAACUAUAUGUGGGCUUACAUAAUGGCAUGGAAAUAGUAAAAUAACAACAAAAAAACCUAAAACUAUCAAAAAGAAGAGGUGACUUCUAGGGGCUGCUUUAGUGGUCAUUCUGACUACUGGAGUAAGUACCCACUCCUCAUCCUCCAUCAGUCAAUAGAUUCAUGCUUAGACCAGGCCUGUUUGCUUGAACCAUCCAUGUCACAUUACUCCACUUUUCAAUGAAAUUGCUAGAAGGUAACACUUCCCUUUCUACCCUCACUUUCCUUUUUAAGUGAUGCUUGAAAAAUUGAUAUAGGCUUGGCCAAUGAAAAAAGUGUCUGUCAUCAGCUCUUUCAAUCUGGUCCACAACACAACCUCUUUUGCUAAGGCUACCAAACAGAUAAACACUCUGUUUGUCCCUGUCAAAGGUAGGUGGCUAGACGAAAUGAUAAUUUCCAUAAAAGGCAUGUCACAAGUUUAUUGGUUGCAUCAAGUCAUCUGGUGCUUAUUUCAUCAACCUCAGAAAGCUGACAAGCAAAUCACCUCUGGCAAGAGUUGGUCCCAGAAAUGUAAGUCGAUGAAAUGGCUACACCAGAGCACUUGAUUAACACCUGUCGCAUUGUAAUUAAGUGAAGUAGAUCGGAAGUGCUAAUAUUGCCAUGUAACCUGGUGACUGAAUCAUGGUCAUAGUCGCAUCACUGUGGUAAUCUGCUUGGCUUUUUUUAAGUAGCACAAUGCUAGUGAUGGAGAUGAACUGUAAAGCUUUCAUACAUCAUAUCAGAACCCACUCGCAAUUGCUGCUUUCCUCUAAGCAGAUUUAACAGAAAGACCAACCCAAAUUGCCUGUUUAACUCUUCUUAAAACUGUUAUCCCAAAGAGGUCAUUAAAUACAAAAGGAAUGUAUAGGUGAUCCCUACUAAUCUGUUACCCCUACUGCAGUCUUCAGUACUUAACACUAUCUUCUAUUCUCUGGACCUUACUAACAGUUACAAUUUCAGCCUCUCAGAUCCUCUGUUAGCCCUUGUUUUCUACCCUUUUCCUUCAGAACUACUUUUGUCUGGAAAAUCUUCAUUGUAAUUGUUGUUCAUGUUUCCUCAAGGUUUUCUAUACCAUUUCUUUCACAUGAAACAAAGGGUGCUUUAUCAGUGCUACAUUGUGUGCAAGAGGUGAAAACCAUUCAGUUGGUCCAGGUAGUAGAGGCAUAACAUAGUAGCAAAGCUGCAAUUGAAUUUUUGACAGAUCAAGACUUGGUCCCAAGCAAAUACAUACAGCUUUCCAGUUGCACUUUGCUCAACUGUUUAGGGUAAGUGCUAGAUCAGAGGUGAAAAUAGACUUUAGUGCAUACCUUUGACUCUCUAAUGUGGCUCCAAGUACGAAAAGUGGAGUGCUACAAUAAAACCUAAUAAAAUACCAGGGUUGAUAUAACUGACUAGCCCCUCUCCUAAAAAUCACUGACCUUGUACCUAAAUUAAAAAUUAUUAUUUUUAUUAUUAUUAAAUGCUGCUGAGGUCUACUCUAUCUUUCAUCCUUUCAGGGUCGAUAAAAUAAGUACCAGUUGAAGACUGGAGUUGAUAUAAUCGAUUUAUCCCUGAACUUGCAGGCCUUUUGCCAAAAUUUGAAGUCGUUAUUAUUAGUAGUAGUAAGGUGGCAAGCUGGCAGAAUUGAUGCACGCAUGGCAAAAUACUUGGCAGUAUUUUGUCUGUCUUUACAUUCUGUGUUCAAAUUCCACUGAGGUCAACUUUGCCUUUCAUCCUUUCAAGGUUGAUGAAAUAAGUACCAGUUAUACACUGAGGGAGGUCAAUGUAAUCGACUAGUCCCCUCCCCAAAAUUUCAAGCCUUGUGCCUAUUGUAUAAAGGAAUAUUAUUAUUAUUUUUAGUAGUAGUAGUAUAGCAAUGGUUGUGAGUUAGCAGAAUUGUUAGGGUGUCAAAACAAUGCUUUCUUGUAUUCAUUCUGAGUUCAACUCCCUUGAUUAUCUGUGUCUUUUGCUCUUUCGAGGUUAAUAAGAUAAAGUAUCACUCAAGUUCUGAGAUCAAUGGUAUCACCCCCCCCCCCUAUCCGUCCACCACCUCUCAAAAUAGCUGCUGGCUUUGUGUCUGAACUAGAAACCUGAAAAGGAAGCUUUGUAUUUGUGCUGGUUGCUCUUGACUGUCUGAGUUAGAAACCCACUGGGGCCAACUUUACCUUUCGUUCUUCCAGGAUUGAUAAAAUUAGGCCUAGUUCGAAUUAAGUAGUAGGGUCAACAUAAUCGACCAUUCCCCACUCCUCACCCAAAUUUCUAGCCUUUUUACAACCUGUGAGAAAUUAUUAUUGGAAUAUUCUUUGGCACAAGCAUGGCUGUUUGGGUUGACAAGUUUGCUUCCCAACUACAUGGAUUCAAGUUUAGUCCCACUGUGUGUUAACUUAGGUAAGUCUUUGCUUAUUGCUAUGAGCUGACCAAUACCUUGUGAGUGGAUUUCGUAGAAAAAGCUAAAAGAAGCCUGUUGUGUGUGUAUAGGUGUGACUGUAGUAAGAAGCUUGCUUCCCAGCCACGCAGUUCAAGGUUCAGUCCCACUGUGUGGCACCUUGGGCAGUUGUCUUCUAUAAAGCUUCAGGUUGACCAAAGCCUUGUAAGUGGUUUUGGUAGAUGGAAACUGAAAGAAGCCUGUCAUAUGUGUGUGUGUGUCUGCAUUUGUACCACCACCACCAUCACUUCUUGACAACUGGUGUUGGUGUGUUUAUGUCCCCGUGACUUAGUUCAGCAAAAGAGACCGCUAGAAUAACUACUAGGCUUAAGAAAUAAGUCCAGGGGUCAAUGUGGUGCUCCAGCAUGGCCACAGUCAAAUGACUGAAACAAGUGAAAAACUAUAUAUUUGUGAGUGUGUGUAUAUUUGUGUCUCCUUGUCUUAAUAUUACAUGGUUGUUGUAAAUGAAUGCCAUUCAUUUUCAAUAUUCUGUGUGGAAAUUGUCUGGCCAUAGGGAAAGUAUUCCUUGCUUAGAAAUAGAUAAUGGUUGAUGACAGGAAAGGCAUCCAGCCAUAGAAAACUUGCCUUGGUAAACUCUCCUCUGAUUCCUGAAAGAAUGGGAAAAUAGAUGUUAAAAUGAUGGAAGAAGUAAUUGAGCACCAGACUAAAUGCACCACUGUGAGUUCAAAUCCCACCGAGAUCUAGUCUUUUAUUCUUUUACUUGUCUCAGUCAUUUGACUAUAACCAUAUUGAGCAAAUCGACCCCAGGACUUAUUCUUUGUAAGCCUAGUACUUAUUCUAUCAGUCUCUUUUACUGAACUAAGUUACAGGGAUGUAAACACACCAGCAUCAGUUGUCAUGCGAUGGUGGAGGAACAAACACAUACAAACAUACGCACACACACACAUAUGCAACAGACUUCUUUCAGUUUCCGUCUGCUAAAUCCACUCACAAGGCUUUGGUCGGCCUCAGGCUAUAGCAGAAGACACUUGCCGAAGAUACUACACCAUGGGACUGAACCCAGAACCAUGUGGUUGGUAAGCUAGCUUCUUACCACACAGCCUCUCCAUAACCUGUUGACUGUCCAUUCAUAGUUUCCCCUCCAUCUUCUUUUAUCCACUCUGGCUCAUUCUGUCGUGCUCCUUUUUAGUAUUUUCCCUUUCUGUUUACAUUUGUCUUCCUGUCUCCCUCUCUUCUUUGCCUGGUUCUCUCUUCUCUGCAUAAUAUCUCUCUCUCCCCCUUUUGCUCUGUCAAUUUAAUCAACUGUGCCCAUCUCACAAAGUAUGUCGCUUUGUGCCAAUGCUAGAAACCAUUAUUAUUAUUAUCAUUGCCUUUGCACAGCUUCUAAUGCUGGAGAUGUACUACGGUGUCAGCUGUUCACUACCAGUGAACUAAGGUAACACCUCUUAUUUUUUGAGCACCUUCUGGAGUAUUCAAGCAGUUCUAAGCAGUGCUGUUUUCAGCAAGUGCUCCACCCUUAUUGCAGCCCCUAUUUGUUCCGCGUACUUUUUGAGAUUUUUGCUCACUGUUCUUAGGGCUCUGACAAUUAUUGGUACUACUGCUAGCUUUUUCAUCGACCACAACUGCUUAACCUCCCAAGCUAACCUGUCAUAGCUAUCGACUUUUCUUUCUUCCUUAUCGCAUGCCUUGUCAGCUGGGCAUGCUAUAUCUAUGAUCCAGCAUAGUUUGUUUUCUUUCUCAAUUAAAUGUCUGGCUUCCUAUUCUCAAUCUCAUGGUCGCACUGAAUCAUAAAAUCAUUAUUAUUAUUAUUAUUAUUAUUAUUAUUAUUAUUAUUACAAUUAUUAUUUACGAAUUUGUUUCUUCUUCUGUGUAAUGAAUUAUUUGAAGCAUGCUGUUUCCAGUUGGAUGGCCAUCCUUUCUUUGACUUGCCUAUCAUAAAAUAACAGUAUUACCUGCACUACUUUAUAUUUACACUGAUAAUCAUUUUUUUUUUCUGCCAAGCAUCACAUUCUAUAGGAAGUAUCUCUUCUGGUGACCAUGCCCUCCACUGAUAACUUUUGCUAUUAUAAUUGUGUGUUUAGCGAGUUCAGUUCAAGGAUGUUAGGACAUGCAUUGUGUGUUGUAGACUAAAUAUUUGCAUGCUUUUUGUUCAGUGAAGUGGUUGUGGAUAACAAACCUCAUUUAGUUGACAUAUUUUUCUCUUACUGAUUUACAUCCAUUUUGUGUGCUUGUGUGAGUAAGAUGAAUUGAGUUAUUUGUGAGAGGAAUAUGCUUUUAAAGUUGGACGAUUGUCUCCCAUCACUUGGAAUUGAACUUGUUGUCAGUUUCUGCCUUGUCCGGGAUUAUGACAGCUAAAAAUAUGAACAUAAGACCACAGAGUCAAUAGAUCAGUAACUUUAGUGUCUUAUUAAUAUUUACUUCAUUAACCCUUUCGUUAUUAUAUUUCUGUUGAGAUGCUCUGUAUUUCUUUCAAUUGAUUUUAAAUAUAACAAUAAAGAAUUUAGUAAAAUAACUUAGUUAUUAUUCAGUUAGUGUUAGGAACAUAAAUUGUGACUAAGGUUUGGUGGAAGAUUUUAAUUCAAAACUUAUGGAAACAGGACAUUUGUACUCAGAGCCAGAGGCAGUUUCAGCCGGGUUGGUAACGAAAGGGUUAAAGAUGGCAAACUGGCAGAAUCAUUAGCACAGCAAGUGAAAUGCUCAGCAGCAUUUCAUCCAUCUUUACAUUCUGAGUUCAAAUUCCACCAAGGUCAACUUUGCCUUUCAUCCUUUCAGGGUCGAUAAAAUUAGUGCCAGCUGAGCAUUGGGGUCAAUGUAAUCAACUCAUCCCCUCCCCUAAAAUUGCUGGCCUUGUCCCAGAAUUUGAAACUGAUAUUUACUUCAUUAGAUUAGCUAUUUUAUCCUGAAUAAAAAAUACUUGUAGGUGUUACUCUAUAGCUCACUGGAGCUGAAAGGUCUUUAACGAUAACAGUAAGUUGUAUGUACAGAUAGAUAAUGCUGGGCUUUAGUGUUGCUGUCCUGAUUGUAUUACAUUUGUGUUUCUUUGUGUCUUUAAAGGGAAACUGAUGUCUCCUUCUCACUAUUAUGAAUCAGCCGAGAGUUGCUAGUAUGGUAGGCAAUGAUGUUUCCCCGUGUUAGGCAUAGUUGGUUCAGUAGAGUUUCCCUCCACAAAUAACAAGACGGGAUAUGUUUUCAUUUUAUCACAUAUUCAUGACCACCUUAAGUUUUUACAAUAGGUAUGAAACCAUAGAGAUUUUUUUCGUCUUUUUCUAGGGUGUACCCAGACUCUCACUCUAGACAAUAUUUCUGGAAGUACUACUACUCUAUAUAACAUUGCAUUUCUCUCUCCCAGUGAAAAUAGAUUUAUUGAUUUGAAGAUAUCAGUUAAGUCCAAAUGUUGCCUAUCUUGUCCCUAUUUUCAUUUCUUCAUCCAGUCAAACAGUAUCUUUGAAUAUGCUGUCAAAAUACAUGAGCUAGUUUAUUUUAUUGAAUAUUUUGGGUCACAGGUCUCUGUAGCUCCUGAUUUCAUGUUUUUGUUGUUGUUGUUGUUACUGUUUUUUUUUUCUUUCUAUUUAUUUACUGCUAGGACAAUGUCAUCUACCAGUCUUGUCAUUCUUUCCCUGUACAACAAAUGUUUAUGCAUUUUCUCUUUGUAAACUGGAACAGAACAAAAACUCAUCACUUCCAAUUCACUUUACCCACUACAUAUACAACCAGCUGCACUAUCUUCUGACAUUCAGAAGCUAUUACCACUUACAUUGUAAAAUCCAUGUGUUGGAGUUGGGGAAGGGAUGACACAGAUAAAAAGUUUGUUGUUUCUACAGUUCUAGGUGCACAAGCCUUGUAAAAGCUGAUGAAUGACUUCUUCAAAUGUAAAAGGUCAGUAUCUGUUAACCCUAUCCCUGAAGGCUAUGACCAGUCAGUAAAGAUUAGCUGGGAGCAGGGCCUGUAGUCUUUUGAAAAAGUGGUACCAUUGUAUAACAUUCCAACUUUGGUGCACAGGGACAGAGAUAAACUUACUAUCUAACUUUACACGUGUCAAUAUUUUACUCAUCCUUUUAACCUGUGAUAUUGUAGGUCAGAUAGCUCUGCAAAUUUUCUAUACGUAGUUGCUCAGUCUCGUAGACGAAUCUCUCUCUGCUGCAUUUCAGCAACUAGGUACCUAUACAAUUUAUUGAUCUGUUCUCUAGUGUGGCCAAAUCUUCUUCAGCAUUAUCUUGUUUUCAAACUAGGAUCACCUACAUCAACCAGUUAUGGAGUUGUUAACCCUCACUGAUUCAAAUUUUCACCGGUGAUGAAAGAUGCUAAUCAUAUGCAAAUCAGUUUGCACAACUUCUUUCUAUUGGCCAGUAAAAAUAUAUGUAUACUAUAUCAAAUGAUGUGGAGAAUUCUGCAAAGUACCCCAUUAUCAGAAAGGAGUAAACUUGCUUCCCAGUUUCCCAUAUCUCAAAUGCACAUGUGCAGAACCAAAUAUCUUCAGAUACCACACACUGUAAGAGUUAAUAUAGCAGUUCAGGUUACCUUAAUAUACCAGUCAAAUCCCUCUGAAAUACAAUCCCCUAAUAUCUUUAACCCUUUUGAUACCAACCGGCAUGAGACCAUCCUUGGUUUUGUAAUAGAAACUUCAUGCUUGAAAGUAAUCUUAGUUUAAGCUUUCUAUGAGAAUUUGGUGUUAAUUUAUGUUCCAAACACCAGCUUUACAAUGACAAAAUUAUUUUACUAAUUUCUCCAUUAUUUUCAAAAUUAAUUGAAACAAAAGGCAGUGUAUUUCAACAAAAAUCUGUUGACAAAAGGGUUAAAAUAUGGGUCAAGUAUUGUGAAUCAUAAUCUUAGGACAGAAGGGGACCAUAUUAGAAAUGCACACUUCAAACCUAGAUGACACACAAGACUUAGUAUUUUGAUUACUAGACCCAAAACAUCAUCUCAAGUAAACAAGAAUUUGACCUGAAAUAGCAAACAUUUCUCUCAAAUUACACUGUCUUGAAAUGGAAAUAAUAAAAUACUUGAAUGAUGGACAAGUGGGUUGUGGAUGGAAUACUUUUGAUCAUAGAUCUGCUUCAUCAGGCCUGGCACUAAGCAAAUACAAUAAGGCCCAACUCUAAAGUGGAAGUGGUAAAUGACAGCUUUACUGCCAUUACAUAGUUUGGUAUUGGUAAGAGCCAUUUGCAUGACUUUGCUUGGUUUGUAGUUGAGCACUUCAUUAAUUAACCUUCACAACCAUGUGGUUUUAAAUUCUAUCCUACUGUGCAGGACUUUGCCCAAGUGCCUUCUAUUAUAGCCCUGGGCCAACCACUGCCUUAUGAGUGAAUUUGGUUGAUGGAAACUGUGGGGAAACUCUUCAUGUACAUUGGGUGCCAGUCCCCCACCAUUAUGACCAUCAUCACCACAUGACAACUGGUGUUGGGUCAUGUCCUUGUAACUUAGCAGCUCAGCAAAAGUGCCCAAUAAAAUAAGUACCUGACUUUAAAAAUAUGUUCUGGGGUUGAGUUGUUCAACUGAGCACUUCAUGAUGUUACCCUAGCAUGGCAACAGUCCAAUGGUUGAAUGAAGUAAAAGAUUAAAGUUAUUCAAAGCUAAUAAUAUUUGGCACACAGGUGCUUACCUUGUUGAAAUUCCUCAUUAUCAUUUGUGUAAUAAUAAUGCUUAAGUUGGGGAGCCGGCAGAAACGUUAGCACGCUGGGUGAAAUGCUUAGUGGUAUUUCGUUUUGUCUUUACGUUCUCAGUUCAAAUUCUGCCAAGGUUGACUUUGCCUUUCAUCCUUUCGGAGUCGAUAAAUUAAGUACCAGUUUUGUACUAAGGUUGGUCUAAUCGACUGGCCCCCUCCCCCCAAAUUUCAGGCCUUGUGCCUAGAGCAAAAAGCAUUUUUUUUUUCUAAAUGCUUAAGGCAGUGAGCUGGCAGAAAUGUUAGCAUGCUGAGGGAAAUGUUUAGCAGUAUUUCAUCUGUCUUUAUGUUCUGAGUUCAAAUUCCGCCAAGGUCAACUUUGCCUUUCAUCCUUUCAGGGUCGAUAAAUUAGGUACCAGUUGUGUACUAGGGUCAAUCUAAUCAACUACCUUCACGUCGCCCCCCCCUCCCCCAAAAAAAAAAUUUGUGCCUAGAGUAGAAAAGAAUGAUGCUUCAGUUAGAAUUUUAAUUUGAAUAUGAAGAAUUUAAUUUGGUUUUAACUUGAGAGUAGCUUUUUAAAUGUGACAGAAUCUAGCUUGCAGAUCUAAUCUUGCAGGUAGACUAAUUACUAAUGUUAAUAUUUCUUAUUGUGUAGGGUGGUAAGCUAGAAUUAUUGUUAGCUUAACAACAUAUCAUGUGUGUUCAUGUUCAGAAUUCAAAUUCUGCUGAGGUCAACUUUGCGUUUCAUCCUUUUGGGGCCAGUAAGAUAAGUAGCAGUUAAGCACGGGGAGUCUUGAUUUAAUUGUCUAACCCCGCCCCAAAAUUGCUGGCCUUGUGCCUAAAAUUUGAAACCAAUAUUUCUCAUUAAUGUUGGCAGAAUCGUUAGUAUGCUGGACAAAAUGCUUAAUGGUAUUCCUUCUGGCUUUACAUUCUGAGUUCAAAUUCUGCCAAGGUCCAUCCCUUCCUGUUAACCACAUCCAUGGUUAAGGUUGAACUUAGCAUUAUGUGGUAUGGAGGACUAAAACAAUUUUAUACUGUUUCUACAGUACUUCAUGCAUGGCUGUGUAGUUAAGAAGCUUGCUUUUCAACCACAUAGUUUCAGGUUCAAUCUCAUUGCAUAGCACCUUCUUCAACUAGAGCCAUGGGUCAACCAAUACCUUGUGAGUGAAUUUGGUGGUGGGAAACUGUGUAGAAGCCUGUCAUAUAUAUGCAUAUCUAUUUGUCCCUCCCCACUCAUCACUUGACAACCAGUGUUGUUUGUUUACAUCCCUGUAACUUAGCAAUCCAGUAUAUGGAAGUAAUAGAAUUUGUACCAGAUUUAAAAAGCAUCAAGGCAGUGCCCCAGCAUAGCCCCAUUACAAUGACUGAAACAAAUAAAAGAUAAAAGAUUAUAGAAUGCUUAAGCUGCACCUACCCAUGAUACUUAUUUACAGAUAGUUAGAUUCAUCAAGCAAUUAAGUGCCUUUGCUGUCAGCUCUGUAAAGUACUGGUGAUGGGGAAAGAAGCCAUUGGUUCUUUAAUCCUUUCAAUACCAACCUGGCUAAAACUGCCUCUGGCUCUGUAAUGUAAAUGUCUUGUUUUCAUAAGUUUUGAAUUAAAAUCUUCCACCAAACCUUAGUCGCAAUUUAUGUUCCUAACACUAGCUUAAUGGUAGCUAAGUUAUUUUACUAAAUUCUUUGUUAUAUUUAAAAUCAGUUCAGAGAAACACAGUGUCUCAACAGAAAUAUGGUAACAGAAGGGUUAACAAAUGAUUAAUUUAACCCUUUUGAUACCAACCUGGCUGAAACCACCUCUGGUUCUGUUGUACAAAUGUCUUGUUUUUGAAAGUUCUGUAUUAAAAUCUUCCAAACCUUAGUCACAAUUUAUGUUCCUAACACUAACUUAAUGGUAACUAAGUUAUUUUACUAAAUUCUUUGUUAUAUUUAAAAUCAAUUGAAAGAAACAGAGAGCAUCUCAAAAUAAAUACAGUAACAAAAGGGUUAAGCCUAUUGGUUUGCAUAGCAGAAGCUCUUCUACACCUCCCAAUAAAGUAACUGGUUCUCAUUUCAUCAACCUUGAAAGAGAUAGAAAUAUUUUGAAGUUUACCCCAAUGGAAUUUGAAAUCAAAAUCAAAUCAUUAAUCACUAAGGUAAGAGAAAACUAGUCCUGUGGUCGGCUGCAUGGCUGGCCUCAGUAGGAUUUGAACACUGAAUGUUAAAACUGGGAACUUAUAUGGCAGAGCAUUUUGUCUGAUGUUCUAACAAUUCUGCCAGUUCACCACCUUAAUAAUAAUAAUAAUAAUAAUCCUUUCUACUGAAGGCACAAGGCCUGAAAUGUUGGGGGAGCGGUAAGUCGAUUACAUCAACCCCAGCGCUCAAAUGGUAUUCAUUUUAUCAACCCCAAAAGGAUGAAAGGUUUAGUCAACCUCGGUGGAAUUUGAACUCAGGCAUACAGAUGGAUGAAAUGCUGCUUAGCAGUUUGCCCAAUGAGCUAACAAUUCUACUAGCUCACCGCCUUGAUAAUAAUAAUAUUAAUAAUAAUCUGAAAUUUUGGCAUAAGGCCAGCAGUUUUGGGGGAGGAAGUAAAUUGAUUGCCUUUCAUCCUUUUGGAGGUCAUGCAUAGUUGAUCUCAACAGAAUUUGAAGGCGGGCAAGAUGCUGCUAAGCAUUUCGCCCAGCAUGGUAAUAAUUCUGCUAAGCUCACCACCUUAAAUAAUAAUAGCUCUUUCUAAUGAAGGCAUAAGGCCUGGAAUUUGGGAGAGGGGCUCAUCAAUUACAUAAACCCCUUGACUGGUAAUUUAAUUUAUCGACUUUAAAAGGAUGGAAGUGUUGAUCUUGGCAGAAUUUGAACUUAAGACAUAAAGAACCAGUAAUGCCACUUGGCGUUUUGUCCAAUGGACCUUGUGAUUCUGCCAGCUCAAAGCCCUUCAUAAUAAUUCUUUCGACUAUAGGCACAAGGUUUGAAAUUUGGUGGGAGGGUGGCUAGUUGAUUACAUCAACUCCCAGUGAUUGACUAGUAUAAUUUCAUGGGCCCUGAAGAGAUGAAAGGCAGAGGUUGAUGUUGGCAGGAUUUGAACUCAGAAUUUGAAAAUCAGGCAAAUUGUUAGUUCACUGUCUAAAAUGGUUUCAGAUCUUGGCACAAGACCAGUCAUUUUCGGGCAAGAGGGGUGGGUUGAUUAUAUUUACCCCAGUACUUGGUACUUAUUUUAUCAACUCUGAGGAGAUAGAAAGGCCAAGUUAACUAUGGAUUUGAACUCAGAACAUAGAGCAGGAAAAAAUACCUCUAAGCAUUUGUCUGAUGCUUUAAUGGUUCUGCCGCGAAUAAUUAUGAUGAUAAUAAGGGUUUUGAAUUUUGCCACAAGGCCAGCAAUUUUUAGGGAGGAGGUAAGUUAAUAACAUUGACCCCUCCCCCCAGUAUUUGACUGGUACUGAACCCCUGGAAGGAUGAAAGGCAAACUUAAGCUCAUUGAGUUUGAACUUAGAAGAUUAAAAGCCAGUAUAAAUGCCUCUUUAGUAACCCUUUCUACUAUUGGCACAAGCCCCAAACUUUUGGAGAAAGGAGGCUAGUCAAUUACAUCGACCUUAGUACUUUACUGAUACUAAUUUUAUCGACCCUGAAAUGAUGAAAAGCAAAGUUGACCUUGGUAGGAUUUGAACUCAAGACAUAAAUACAGGCAAAAUGCUGCUGAGUAUUUAAUCCAGCAUGCCUAUGGUUCUGCCAGUUCACCACCUUUAAUAAUAUUUUCUACUGAAAUUUUGGGGGAGGUGGGGCAGUUGAUUAGGUCAACCCCAGUACGCAACUGGUACUUAAUUUAUCAACCCCAAAAAGGAAAGGCAAAGUUGACCUUGGCAGAAUUUGAACUCAGAAUGUGGCAAUGAACGAAAUACCGCUAAGCAUUUUGUCCAGCGCGUUAACGAUUCUGCCAGCUCAUUGACUUUACCACAUUUAAUAAUAGCAAUAAUUGUUUAAAAUUUUGGCACAAGCCAGCAGUUUUUGAGGGGAGGGGGAAGUUUGUUAAAUAAUAAUAAUAAUAUGACUAGUGGUUUCAAAUUUUGCCACAAGGCCCACAGUUUCAAGGGUGGGAAUAAGUUGAUUAGAUUGACCCCAAAAAGAUGAAAGGCAAUGUCAAACCUUGGCAGAAUUUGAACUCAGAAUGUAAAGACUGAAGAAAUUCUUCCAAACAUUUUGCCUGACAUGCAAACAAUUGAGCAAUAAUAAUAAUAAUAGUGAUGGUGGUGAUAAUCUCUUAACAUUGAUGCAAGUGUGAAAAAAAAAAAAAAUUUGUAGGAGAGAGAGGUAGUUAAUUUGCUGAGUUCAGUAAACAACUUUUUUUUUUUGUGGACUUUUUUCCUUAUAAUUGCAAAACACAGAAGUUGGUUGGAUUUGAACUCAGGGUAUAGAAGGAUGAAACUAAAUACUUAUAUAUGACAUUACAUGUAAUGCACUGCACCCUCUUCAACCUCAUAUCUAUAGGGGCCAAUCCAAUUUAGUCUGUCAUUUAACUGAUUUUUUGCCUGACAUUUAAGAUUUAUUAGAUACGGCAUAAGAUAGAUAUUCUUGGGUCUUAGGGUCAUUCUAGGUGUACAGGAGUAAUGAGUUAGGUCAAUAGUUCUCAACCACGGUCCAUAUAAGAUUUUUGGGGGUCCGCAAAGCAAAUGAGUACAUUGAGGGUCCACAAUAAUAUUUUAGGGGCCCCUGAAAAUCUUUUGCUUGGUAUAUAUAGCAAGAAGCAGCUUGGUUUCUUUCUCUAGCAUUUUACGUAUUCAACCUACACAAGUUAAUGUGUGAAAAAUGAAAUAGGAAUUUUGAAAAAAGUAUCUAUAAAAUUAAUUUUUAGACACAAUGGCUAUGGGGGUCCACUAAAAUAAAAUGCUAAUCAAAGGGAUCCAUAGGUAAAAAAAUGGAUGAGAACCCCCGAGUUAGGUUACAGAUCUGUUGUGUGUGUCAGUAUUUCAUAUCUUUACUCUCCAUGAUGAUGUAGGUUAGAUAGCUCUGCAAAUCUUGAGACAUACAUGAAUGGUUUCUACAUAGUUUUUCAAUCAUCAUCAUUUAAUGUCCACUUUUCCAAGCAUGCAUGGGUCACAUGGAAUUUAUUGAGGCAGAUUCUCUACAGCCCUAUGCCCUUCAUGUGCUGCCACAAAACAUUUUGUCCAGUGUUCUGACAGUUAUACUAAUCCACUAGCUUCAUCAUCAUCAAUCCCUGGACAUUUCUAUCUCAAGUCGUAGGACUGGUUUCCAUGGUAUCCAAGUGAUUGAGAUCACAAUGAUCCACCCAAAUAGAAUGCCAGUUUGUUGCUGGGUUACUCAUUUACGGUUGAGUAGACUGGAGCAAUGUAAAUGGAGGGUCUUACUCAAGAACGUAAUGCACCACCCAGUCCAGGAACCAAAUCCACCAUCUUGCAAUCGUGAGUGAAACACCCUAACCUCCAGGCCACUUUGGACUGUUCAGAAGUGAUGAACAUCAAAGUUAGCUUUGGCAAGAUUGGAACUCGGAAUGUAAAGAACUGGAACAAAUACUGCAAAUAAUUUUGUCCAACCCUUUAGCAUUUAAACUGGCCAUAUCCAGCCCAAAUAUUCUACCAGUUUUAUGUUCAACUUGCCAAGAUCUAGCUUCUCACACCUGCCCUACAUUGUCAAUUGAAAUCAAAUUCGAUGACUGGCAUCCAUGCUAGUGGAGUGCUAAGAGCACCAUCCAAGCAUGAUUGUUGCCAAAGCAGCAAACUGGCCUCCGUGCCGGUGGCACAUAAAAAACACCAUUCGAGCGUGAUCGUUACCAGCGUCUCCUUACUGGUGCUUGUGCCAAUGGCACGUGAAAAAACAUUCGAGCGAGGUCGUUGCCAGUGCCGCUGGACUGGCUCCUGUGCAGAUGGCACGUAAAAAUCACCAUUUGAGCAUAGCCGUUGCCAGUGCCGCCUGAUUGGCCCUCGUACCGGUGACACAUAAAAGCACCCACUACACUCUCGGAGUGGUUGGUGUUAGGAAGGGUGGGAGUGUCUGGAGGUGACAUGAGUCUAGCUAGUUCUGAGAAGCAGAAGCUAUUAUAGUAACAGUAGAAAAAGCAGGGAGUGGUGGGGAGACAGUGUACCUGUGAAUGUCUUUAGUUAAAUGGCUCUUUUGUAGAUGUAAUCUAGAAUGGCUAUGUGCAGUAUCAUGAGAGCACUGCUUUAAUGUAGGUCUCACCUGAGUUUUUUAGAGUAAUUGUUAGGGACGAAAGUAUCUGCUGAUCCUAAAGAGAUGUAUGUAUACUUGUCUGAGGUUGUAGUCUAAAACAAGUGUUUUGUAUCCCAUAACCUAGCUCUUCAGCAAAUAGAAAUCAAUUAAAAAGGUGGUGCCAUACUGCAGAUAAGUACUACGGUUGCUAUGGUUGACUAAAAUCAUUGAAAGCAAUUCUCCAGCAUGUUGGCAGGCAGUAAAAGAAUAUGUAGUGUUAUUAAGGUUGGUGGUGAGUUAGAUUAGAGGAUGUAUGCAACAGUCUCGUUACCAUACCUAGGUAUUAUCUUUUGUAAGCCUUCUGGCUUACCAACCCCCAGUCAAACCGUCAAACCCAUGCCAGCAUGGAAAGUGGACGUUAAACAACAUUGAUGAUGAGUCACUCUCUAGUUCCUACCCAAUCACUCCCACCCUCUCUUCUAAAAUGUGAGUAGCUGUGUGGCAAUUUUACAGGAAGCAACUUGUUCUGAUCUGGCCCUUUUCUCUCACUUUAUCCCACUUCUCAUCUCCUUGCAUAGAGUUGCUCUCUUGGAGUUUGUAGUACUUGUGGCAGCAUUCACCUGGGGUCAAUUAAACCAGCUCUGACCAAUUAGUUCACUCACAAAUGCUCACCAUAUUUGAUAGUCAGCCCUAACAUUCCAGCUCACAAAUUAGACAAAUGCUCCACUGGCAGAACAAGCAUGUAGCGCCAUAGCUAUUAUCUGUUGUUGAAGCGUAAGGUUCAUGUUCAGAGUAUUCAGUGGGAAUACAAGUCCGUAUGUGGUCUCUGACUGCAUGGUACCCUCAGUAGUGCUCAUGGCAUGAAAAUACCACACUGUACAUGUUGUAAAGUGGUUGGUAUUAGGAAAAACGACCAGUCAUAGAAACCCUACCAAGGUAGAGACUGGAGCAGGAUGCAGUCCUUGGGCCCAUCAAAUUCUGUCAGACUGUUCAAUCCAUGCCAGCAUGGAACAUGGGCAUUAAAUGAUGAUGGUGAAGAAUUAUGAUUGACACUAUUAGGGUAGGUUAUAUAAUGUAUGUGGUUAUUAUUGGAUGCAGGGAUUAAGUUAGAGAUGGAAACAUUAUGGGGAGAGUGUAAACUUAUUGGGCAUACCAUAAAUAGGGAUUAAGAUGGGUGAUAAAAGCACAGUUUAUAGAGAGUUAUAUUAAAGGAGUGUACAUGACACAGUCAUUCUUAUGUUAAUAAUGGAAAACUAAUGAGAGAGAGAGAAUAUAUAUGGCAAUGGUUCUCAACCAUUUUUUACGUAUGGACCCUUUUGAUUCCUAUUUUCUUCUACUGUAUUUUUUGUAAUUAAAUAUUAAGAAUUGUAUAAAAAAAUUAUUUUGUGUAUUCCACUGACAAGGCUUUGGUCAGCCCAAGGCUAUUGUAGAAGACACCUACCGAAGGUGCCACACAGUGGGACUGAACCUGGAACCAUGUGGUUAGCAUGCCAGACAAAAUACUGGAUAGUAUUUCAUCUAUCUCUACGUUGUGAGUUCAAAUUCCACCAAUGUUGACUUUUGCCUUUUGUCCUGUCAGGGUUGAUGAAAUAAAUGCCAGUUGAGUACUGGGAUCAGUUUAUUCAACUAGCCCCUUCCCCCAAAAUUUCAGGCCUUAUACCUAUAUUAGAAAGGCUUGGUUGCUAUUUAGUUAGUUAUAGGUCUACUUAUAGAAUUAUUAAUUUACCGAUACUGUUUUUGUUCAUAAGGUAAAUGUGGUUUCUUUAUUGUAGUUUAAUUAAUGAUGUUAGUGUUUGAUCCUACCUGGAAUUAAGAUUGAACGAAUGUGGUGAUAUCUAAGGUGUGUUUGUUCCCAAACAACACUUAUUUAGUGAUGUUGACUCUGCCGGAUUGAAUGGUACUGUCCAGGUGUCAAAACCAUAGUGAUAUCCAUGGGGCAGCUGAUGAUGGAGGUGUGUUGGAUUGUUGGUAUGGCUGUUAUUGUAUGUGCGGAAUAGUUUUAUAAGACAUACAUUUGAUGAUAUUAAAAAGGGUGGUGGGUUGCAGUCAUUAGAGCAGUGGACAAAAUGCUUUAUACUCUCAGUUCAAAUUGCACUGAAGUUAACCAUGCCUUUCCUCUUUCCUGGGUGGAUAAAAUAAGGUACCAGUUCAUUACUGGAUCAAUGUAGUCAUUUGUUCCCUCCCUACAAAAUUCCUGGCUUUGUGCAAACAUAAGAAAUAAUAAUAAUUUCCAGCGUGCCAGCUUACUCAAACCAUCCCAUGCCAGCAUGGACAGUGGACAUUAAAUGAUGAUGAUGAUGUUUCAGAUUUUGGUACAAGGCCAGCAUUUUUAAAUGAAGGGGAAUAGUUGAUUACAUCAACCCUGGUACUUGACCAGCACUUUUCUUUUAUCAACCCUGAAACCAUGAAAGGCAAAGUUGAAUUUGGCUGUAAUUGAAGUCAGAACAUAAAGAGUCAGAAGAAAUGUCUCAAAGCAUUUUGUCUGAUUUGCUAACAAUUCUGCCACCAUAAUCCAUUUGGGCCCAAAUUUUUUAAUUUUAAUUUAUUACCAAAAAUCUUUUUUUAUCUGAUACUCUUUACUUGUUUCAGUCAUUUGACUGUGGCCAUGCAGGAGCACCGCCUUUAAUCGAGCAAAAAGGACCAUGGGCAUUAAUGGGUUAAUGAUAAUAAUCUUUUCUGCUAAAGGCACAAGAGCCGAAAUUUGCUGGGCAGGAACUGGUUGAUUGCAUCAACCCCAGUGCUAGACUGAUACUUAUUUUAUCAACCCUGGAAAGGUGAAGGGUGAAGUCAACCAUGGCAGAAUUUGAACCAAUGUGGUAAAAAUGGACAGAUGAAAUGCUGCUAAGUAUUUAACCCAGCAUGCAAAUGAUUCUGCCAGUUCACUGCCUUAAUAAUAAUAAUAAUAGAUUUAUAAGAAAAGCAAGUAGAUUGGUAGAGUAUAUGCUAAAUUUAAUUUUACCUCUCUCUCUGAUAUGAGUCUAAUUCUAGCUGAGUUAACUUUGACUUUCGUCUCUCUGAGGGGAUCAAUGAAAUAAGUAUCAAUCAAUAACUUUGGAAUGUGUAUCCUUGUUUCAGUUUAAAUAACCCUAAUCAUUAUUAUAUUCAUUUAUCAAAGCUGGUAGCAGGAGCACAGUUUGUAGGGAGCUGUAGUUUUCACUUGAAGGUUUUCAGGCUGCCUCUUGUUCUCAAAGAUAAUAAGAUUGGUCCCUUUAAUGUUGUUAUAUUUCAAUUUAAAUCUUCCGUGUCAAUGUUAUUUAACAAACUGUUUUUUAUAUUCUACGUCUAUCCUUGAUUAUCUCAGAUGUUUGGUUACAAACAACUCAGAGAAUCAGUGAUAAGUGAAUAAUAGAACAUAGGGGAAUAAUUGGUUUCAUUCUGAGACCCCAGGUUGUCCUGAGCAUUGGCCAGUUGCUGGGGCAUGGUUUUGCAGUUCAAGCAGAAUCUUUGACUGACCACCAACCCAUGUUAUCUCAGAUCAAUUCAUGAUAAUAAGCAUUAACACAGUUCACAAUUCAUGUGUUGGGUUAUCCCAGAUCAGAGAUGAAUGAAUCAGUGAUAAACAAGGAUAGCUGUAUUCCAUAGAACUGCUUAACCCUUUAAAAUUUAAACCAGCCAUAUCCAGCCAAAAUAUUCUGCCUAUUCUAUAUUCAAACCAGCCAGAUAUGGCCACUUAUAUCUUACACUACAAUGUCAUUCUAAAACUUAACAAUCACAUGAUCAAAACCUUAAAGCGACAACACAUUGCAUAUGAUAAAUUCAGAAUGAUGUCAAUAAAUAUCUAUCUAGGUCAUCCCUCAGGGUACCCCAAGACUGUUUUCACACAUUUUCCCCAUUCAUCUCAAUCUUCCAUAAUGGUCCUCAGCUCCUCUACCCCUUCCAUACCAGCAUCCAACUUCCCCCUUCCUCUCCUGGUUCUUGCUUCCGUUUGCAUUUGACAAAGUAAUCUGAAUGCUAAAGAGUUAAUAAUGGAGAAACUAGUUAUUUUAAUAAAUCCUUCCAUUGAGGUAAAAAUGGACAGCAUAUUCUGUUGGGAAUAAAGCCAAGCAAAGAUUAAGUUAUUUUCUGAUCCCAGAGCCAGUUUGUAGUGGGAAUAAUAGGAAUAAAUGUUGAUAUGCCGUUCACAGAUGGAGGGGAGACAAUAUGGUAUGUCUGUUAAGCAUGAUGCAAUAGCUUUAUUCUUAAUUAAAACUGUUAUUGCUCCUCUCCUUGAUGGAGCACACUGUAGCAGGAUUAGGUGAUGGUUCACGCUGAUACAUUGUCCAGUUUACCCAAUUUCCAUGGUGCGUUUAAGUGACAAAGAUCACAACAAUCCCUCUUGAAAGGGUCACUGGUUUGUUGCAGGGUUCAAGGCUAGGAAUUUUGAGGGGUGAGGACAAGUCAUUUACAUCAGCCCCAGUACUUGAUUGGUACCUUAUUUUAUCACCACCCCCCCCAAGGGAUGUAAGGCAAAGUUGUCCACAGCAGGAUUUGAACUCACAAUGUAAAGAGCCAGAAGAAAUGCUGCCAAGCAUUUUGACCAAUGUGCUGUUGGUUCUACCUGUUUGCCAUGACUUUAUAGAGCUACAUUAUUGAUAAUCCUGUGGAUAAUGGCUAGGCCUGUAGCAUAAUUUAGCACCCAUCACCUUCUACUCAAUAGUCCAGCUCCUUAACUUCACAUCCACUGACAGCCUUAGCUGAUUAAAGCAAGUAACAAUUAGUUCUGUUAAGGUUUGAACACAUGACCUUAUUGUCAAUCAGUAUUUGAGCUUCUUAACUUCACAGACGCUGUAAUGCUAAUAGAAAGGGAAAAAAAACUAGUGAGAGCCAUGUGGAAAUUGAACCCAGUUUUCCAGGCAUGCAACUUUAAUGCUCUAAAGACCCAGUUAUUAAUUAGCUUUUGCAGCCUUUCAAUCUGAAAGAUUUGAAGAUGGAAACAUUAAGCGCUAAUUUGAGCUUCCACAAACUUCUCUGUCAGUCUUUGUGUCCUUGGUUGGUGUGGUCUGAAUUUUUCAUGGAUCAGCAGAAACAGAGCAUUGGUUAGGAGACAAGCCAAGUUCAAGUUUUCUGAGAAUGCACACUGCGUAUUGUGUUACAUUAGCAAGCCAAGCAGUAGCAGAAUAGCAUCAAGUGAUACUGUGAAAUACAGAACAGCUGAUGACUCAAUGACACUAUAUUCAUGUGUAUUGCAAUACAUCAACAAGCUGUACCAUGUAUUGUAAGACAAUAACAAUUCAAACUGUAUAUUACAUAUAGGUGCAGGCAUGGCUGUGUGGUUAAGAAACUUGCUUUGCAACUGUGUGGUUUCAGGUUCAUUCCUACUGCACAGCAUCUUGGAGAAGUGUCUUCUAUUUAAUGCAGUGAACUGGCAGAAAUGUUACCACGCUGGGCAAAAUGCUUAGUGAUAUUUUGUCUGCAGUUACAUUCUGAGUUCAAAUUCCGCUGAGGUCAACUUUGCCUUUCAUCCUUUCGGGGUCGAUGUAAUCGACUUAAUCCCUUUGUUUGUCCGCUCUAUGUUUAGCCCCUUGUGGGCAAUAAAGAAAUAAUAAUAAGUGCCUUGUGAGGAAGCGUGUAUGUACUUUUGUGUUGUAUUUGUCAUUGCCCCCCCCCCCCCCGUCAUUCAACAACCAGUGUUGGUUUGUUUACAUUUGCUUAAUGUAUGAGUUUGGCAAAAGAGAACAACAGAGUAAGUAUCAAAUUUUAAAAAAGGAACGAGUACUGGAGUGGAGGUUGGGGUGAUUUGUUUAAUUUUUAAACAUCUUGAAAUGUGCAACUACAUGGCUGCAAUCCAAUGAUUGAAACAAUGAUAAGAUAUAUGUGCCAUCUUGGUGAAGUCUUGAUUACUUAACACUUAAGAUUAUAAAUGGUUGUGGGUUUGACCUCUAAACCAGGCAACUCUUGUAUCUGAAAUCAAAGACUGCUGUCAUAUUUCUCUAGUUUUACUUGUUAAUUAAUUUUCUUCAUAAAAGCAUUACCACCACAAUAUAACAGUAUUCUCUGUCUGUCUCCCCUCUGCCUUCUGCUUUCUAAUUAUUGGGUCUUGUACAAGUAUAAACUUAAUCACAGAAGGCACAGGUGUGGCUGGUUUCGAACCUUGGUUCCCAAACAUAUCAUUCCAUGUUCAAUCCUACUGCAUGCCACCAUGGGCUAGUGGAGUUGGUACGUGGAAACUGAAGGAAGGCCAUCGUGUAUGGUUGUAUGUAUGUGUCGGAGAUUUCCUUGUCUUGGCAUUGUGUGGUGGCAGUAAAUGAGAGUCACUGUCAUAUGAACAGUGUCAUUCCUUUCCAGUGUUUUGUAAGAACAUGUCUGGCCAUAGGGAAAUGUUACCUUGCUUGGUGACAGGAAGGGCAUUCCAACCAUAGAUAAUCCACCUCAGUAAACUCUUCCCCAUGCAUGGAAAAGUAAAUGUUAUGAUGAUAGAAGCUAACAUUCAGUUUACAUAUGAAUCGUUUCAUAUUAGUUGUUUGUCUAUGCACAAAAGUCUUUUAAUACAGAGUUGAACUUCCAAUGAUCAAUGUUUCACUUCCCAGAUGGAAUAAUUUCACUUCACUUCCUUAAACCUUUUCUUUGAUAAGUGAUUUUGUGCCACAGCUUCCCAUUUUACUCCUCACACCCCAGAAAUUUGAUGGAAACGUAAUUCCACUAAAAUUUGAAUUAAUGUUGUCUUUAGAUGUUUCAUUCUUGGUAACCUUUACUAUGCUGUAGGUGCAUCAUGUCACUGUAUGAAUUUUCUCCCCUCUCAGUGUGAUACAAUGUAACUGUAGCUACAGGGGAGAAAACUCAUACAGUGACAUGAUCUGCAUAAGCAUACUAAAGAUUAAUCAAACUAGUGGAAUUAUAAAGUCUUUUAUUGAUAAAAGUCUUGUUCUUGAUUUUAGUUGUUUGUUAUAAUUCCAUCAACAGCAUCCAUAAUGCUUAUGGAAAUAUUAAAUUGAUCACAGUAUUUGAGUGCUUCAGAAAGAUCGAAAGCAAAAACUGAUUUGAACUUGUAAUAUAAACGCUGUAAUUGUUUGUAACUGCUUUUAGAGGUUACACUUGAGUGAAUUUGGCAGAUGGCAACUGUAUAUGUUCCAGGUUCAAAUUCCAUUAACAGAAUCUAUGAUGCUUAUAGAAAUAUUAAAUUGACCACAGUGUUUGAGUUGACCUCAAUGGAAUUUGAAGACAGAAGGAAUGCUGCUAAGCAUUUUGUCUGGUGUGCUAUCAAUCCUGCCAGCUGGUCGAUUAUAUCAACCCUGAAAGGAUGAAAGGCAGCUUGCCACCCGAGGGUGGUCAUUUCUAGAUUAGCCAUGGUGACAUAAACUUACAUAAAAGGGAAUUUGAAAUGAUAUAAUUGAUCAUCUAUGUCCUUCAGAUCAAUAAAAUAAGUACCUUGAGUAUUAGCAACACCCUAAUAAUGGGUACAGGGGAGUAAUCGAUUAUAUUGACCCUAACGAUCAACUGGUACUCAUUUUAUGAAAGGCAAAGUUCACCUUGUAAUUUGAACUCAGAACAUAAAAGCUGAAAGAAAUACCAUUCAGCAUUCUUCUGACAUUUCUUUUAUUUGUUUCAGUCAUUUGACUGCGGCCAUGCUGGAGCACUGCCUUUAGUCAAAGAAAUGACCCCAGGACUUAUUCUUUGUAAGCCUAGCACUUAUUCUGUUGGUCACUUUUUGCCGAACUACCAAGUUAUGGGGACGUAAAUACACCAACAUUGGUUGUCAAGCAAUGGUGCGGGGGGGGGGGGCACAGACACACAAGCAUAUACAUAUAUACAAUGGGCUUCUUUCACAAGACUUUGGUUGAACCAAGGCUAUAGCAUUUGUCACUUGUCCAAGGUGCCAUGCAGUGGAACUGAACCAGGAACCAUGUGGUUGGGAAGCAAGCUUCUUACCACACAGCCACGCCUGUGCCUAUAACAUUCUUACCAGCUCAGGGCAGUAAUGAUAUGCUUUCUACUAUAAGCACAAGGCCUGAAAUUUGGGGAGCGGUCCUGGUUGUUUAUGUUGACUCCAGUGCUCAAAUGGUCCUUAUUUCAUCAACCCUGAAAGGAUGAAAGGCAAAGUUGACCUUGGUAGAAUUUGAAAUCAGGAUGUAAAGACAGACUGAACCACCACGAAUCAUUUUGCCUGGCAUGCUAACAAUUCUGCCAGCUCAAUAAUAAUAAUCCUUGUUAUUAUAGGCACAAGGCCUGGAAUCUUCCGGGAGGGAGCUGGACGAUUACAUCAGCACCCGUGCUCAAUUGCUAUGUAUUUUAUUGACCCCAAAAGAAAGAACGGCAAAGUCGGUCUCAGUGGAAUUUGAGCACAAAAUGUAAUAACAGACAAAGCACUGCUAAGCAUCUUUUCCAGUGGACUAAGCGUUCUGCCAGCUCAUUGCCUUAUUAUAAUAAUAAUUAUUUCAAAUUUUUGCCACAAUUGCAGCUUGGGGGAGGUGGGGAUGAGUCAAUUACAUUGACACCAGUGUUCAACUGGUACUUAUCUUAUCGACCCCGAAAGGAUGAAAGGUAGAGUCAACCUCUGCGGAAUUUGAACUCAGAACGUAGCAGUGGGCGAGAUACCACCAAGCAUUUCGUUCAGCAUACUAACAAUUCUUCCAGCUUGCCACCUUCCCUAAUGAUAAUGAUAAUAAUAAUAAUAAUAACAGUUGUGUCUUCUAAGGCGGCAAGCUGGCAGAAAUGUUAGCACGCCAAGCGAAAUUCUUAACAGUAUUUCGUAUGAGUUCAAAUUCUGCCGUUGUUGACUUUGCCUUUCAUCCUCUUGGGGUCGAUAAAUUAAGUACCAGUUGCGUACUGGGGUCGAACUAAUCGAUUGGCCCCUUCCCCCAAAAUUUCAGGCCUUGUCCCUUGAGCAGAAAAAAAAGAAUAGUUCUGUCUUCUAUUGGCUUGAGGCUUGAAAUUUUGGGAGAGGUAGCUUGUUGAUUACUUCCACCCCAUUAUUUGACUGGUACUUUAACAACCCCAAGAGGAUGAAAGGCAAAGUCAACAUACAGUGUUAAUGUUGUAGAAGAGGUGGGUAUCAUUGUUAUCAGUAUAUAGCACCAUGAUAGAUCAAUGGGACUUAAAUAAUCAGCCACAUGACUUGGCACAAUCCACAGACAUGUGUCUCUGACUAGUUGAGUUAUAGCUUGUGUCCAUAGGUAAAGUUGACCUCAACAGGAUUUGAAUGUAGAACAAAUGGUCAUACGUAAAUGUUGCAAGGUAUUUUGUGCUUUAAUAAUUGUAUGAACAUUCUACCUUUAAGAAUAAUGAUAUCUAACAUAAAUCUUAGGGUCUGUCAUGAGCCCUACAACUCAUAAGGCCAGGGUUAAACCUGGCUUCUAUGGUGUAUAAGUGAUUGAGAUUACAGCACACUCCUCACCCUGGAUGGGAUGCUAGUCUGUUGCAGAGUUAACUUCCCAGCUAUUGCUGGAACACAUUUACAGCUGAAUGGAUCAGGGCAACGUGAUAUGAAGUGAUUUGCUCAAGAACAUAAUGUGCUGUGUGAUCCAGGAAUUGAAACCAUGACCUUACGGUAGUAGUGAGUGCAGCAACCCAACCAUUAGGCUAUACACCUUCUGAAGUGCAAGGUACUACUGCUUGAUCGGAGAGGUUAACAACCAUUUCUAUCACACCCACCUCCCAGUUCUUAUUGUAUCAACCCUUGUAAUAAAGAUAAUGAUUUUAAACUCGAAUAUAACAAAUUGUUGAUCAACCAUCAGAUGGAGGAAAGUGUACCUAGGACUACAUUAUUCAAUGUGUCCUUUUGUUGUUUAAGACUGUGGCUUGUAAUUUGAGGGCAAUUAAACUGCUUUUUCUAGUCAUGUAGACACUUGUUUGCUUUUUUUCAUUCUGUAGUGGGAUUAGAGAUUAUUUGUCUAUAUUUGAUAUUUCCACCAUGGCUUUAGUGAGAGGUUUUUACUCUUAAUUGAGCUGUUUUAACGAUGGAUUUAGUUAGAGGUUGUUCGUCCAGCUUUAGCUAUUUCCAUGUUAAAUUUGGUUAGAGGCUUUUAGUUUUAGUUCAAUUGUUUCAAAGGUGGCUUUGGUUAGAGGUUAUUGAUCUUACUUUAACCAUUUCUAUAAUGGAUUUAGUUAAAAGUUAUUGGUCUUACUUCACCUGUUUUUAUGAUGGAUUUGGUUAUAGGCUAUUGGUCUUACUUUAGCCAUUUCAUAAUGGCUUUGAUCAGAGGUUAUUCGUCUUUCUUCAGCAGUUCCAUAAAGAAGUAUUUUCUUGAUAUGUGUAGUAACUGCAUCUUUGUGUUGUUGAAAGAAACAAAAAUGUCUGUGUUUUCUCCUUAGAUUUUUUAAAACCCAUCAUUAGCCAGGUGACUCUGAUAAGCAGACUUGUUUGCUUGCUCAUCCACCACCUCUUUAGUGUAUGCUGUCGUAACAUAGUUUCCUUUGGUUCAACAAAGCAACAAUCAACCUGCAUUGGUGAUGGGCCCCGUGUUGUCAAAAAUGAUGGCCUAAUUGUAGUAUUUUAUAUAUAAAUAUGGAUGGUAAAUCAAAUUAAUACAUUUAUCAAUUUUAUCAAGCAGUUGUCUUUUGAGAUGUGACAUUGAUCAUCAUUUCUUGCUGAAAGAAAGCUGGUUCGCACUUAUAAACUUUCACAUACUUCCCUUGUACACACACACACAUCUACUCACACAGAGUUGAAAUGCUGCUUGAUUUUCCUUUUCAGCAUUGAAUGUCUACCAUCCCACUUCCAUUGUGCACACACACAUACACUUGCACAGAGUUGAAACACUCCCACUACCAAGUUUGUCAUCACCCCCUUCCUUAUUCAUCCAUCACCCCUUUCUUUCUCAUUCAUAUGUGCUGACAGAGAAAAACACAAAAGUAUUAUUAUAGUAGAUAGUCAUGUCAGUUUAUUUACAAACUUAACACAAACACACUCUCUCAGUAUUUUGGUUAAUUAGUGAGAGUUGCAAGAAGAAGGGUAUCUGGGUGUCAAAUAGCUACCUUAACAAAUUCUCUUCAACCCAUACAAGUAUGAAAAAGUGGAUAUUAAAUGACAAUGAUGAUGCCAAAAUUGAAUCAUAUAACAUUUCUGUAGACAUAACCAACCAUCAUGUAAAGUCUCUUUAUAAUGAAUACCAUUUCAACCCUAGCUUCAUUCUUUUACUGGCUGAAACCAGCAAAAGACUUAGAAUAAAUUAAUAAUGAAACAAAUCUGAGAUGAUAUUGUUUUGAAGAUUUUCUUUCUGUUUUUGUAUUUGUUAUGUUUCCUUGAUUUUCAUUCCCAAGAGUUUAAUGUGUAUAACAUGAUGACAAUAACAAUUUUUAUAAAACUAAUGACAAUAUGUUUUUCUUUGUAUUUCCAGGUAAGAAUACGGUAUGGGAAUUUUUCAAUUUUUUUUUUGAAACUAAACAUAUCUGCAUUUCUUAAGAUGACUAAAAAGAAAAAAAAAGAAAAAGAAAAAAAAACCUAAUCCAAUCCAAGAGUGGAUCUUUUGUGCCUUAUUAUUGAGAUAUUAAGAUUGCUACUUAACCUUCGAAGUGUCAAGAAUGCCAUAUUUGGAUAUUUAUUGCACCAUCACCACCAACAACAUUAUGAUGAUAUACCACAAUGGAAGAUGAUGAAGAAGAUGAUGAUGAUACUGCCAUUGCUGUUCUUCAUUGUCCUCCUCAUCCUGUUUUUUCGUCUGCGACAGUCAAUGCUGCCAAACUUGGAUUACCUACCAUUUGUUGUGACUAAAAACAAACCAAGCCAAACAAGGAAACGCAAAUACACCCAAACAACAAACCUACUUACCCCGUCCCCGUAGCCCUCAAAAAAUAACCCUGGCUGUGACGUAAGAUUUGAUCCGCUGUCGUCAUCAUCUUUCUUUGGCUUUAAUAUUGCUGUUAGCUGCCAGGUGUCUCUGUAAGUCUCUACAACUGAAUGUUUGUGCCGUUAAUUUGGCAGACUUUUCUUCGUCUUUCUCCUUUUCUUUAUCUUUUUUUUAAUUUAUUUUAUCACAUUUUUUUUUCUAACAACUUAACAUUUUCAGAAUAAUUUGGAUAUUAAUUUUUUUUUUGUCUUUGCACGUGA